This 48611-nucleotide long non-coding RNA is filed under the name Prunus persica (peach). RNAcentral's name for it is "long non-coding RNA (PPER_LNC004352)". Lineage: Eukaryota; Viridiplantae; Streptophyta; Magnoliopsida; Rosales; Rosaceae. The record is from RNAcentral.
UUGACAGCUUACAACUCUAAUUGCAAAGACAAUUCAGAUGGUAAAUAAAUAUCUAAGCAAUAGAAAGAAAUAAUGAGAAAAUAUUAUAAUUACCAAAGAAGACAGUGAUAUAUACAAAAGGUUAUACUGCGACACAAAUUCGCCACAAAUCAAGAAAGUUUUUUUUUUUUUUUUUUUGAAGACCUUUAACUUUGAAAGGGGCGAUAACAUACUAAACUCACACACACACUAGAUGGAUGUUAAUUAGGAUUCGAACCCAAGAUCUUUCUUGAGGGAGCAUUUGCUUCAAACCACUACACUAGUGGGUCCUUUGCAAUCAAGAAUGUUUUAGAUCUUCAUCCAUGAUUUUAUACUGUUUAAACAAAUCCUCUUAAUUACUUGACGUAUUCGACAUCUGAUUAAGGUUUCACUCUAAAGUCUCAUCAGUUAUCAAAUUAUACAUAAGUUUGAUUGCUAAUUAAGCUUCUUUGUUGACAGUCUCCUUUGAUCUCCUAAAAUGGCUGCGGUCAAUGCAUCAAUGCUUAUGUGUCAAAUUCUCUUCAACAGUUUCUUCACCUCAGUAAGGAUUGAAAAGAACAAGAAAAAAAAAAAAAAGAGAAGUGGAAGUGGAAGUGGAAGAAACAGCAAUUAAAAAACUGCUUCAGUUUGUCGGGUGUUCUCCCAAACUGAGGUUCUAAGGGGAGCGCAGAUGACCUGGGAAAAAAACGGUGGCUUUUAUUUUGUGUGUGGAAAUUGAGUUUGAUUCUAAGUGUGCCAUCUGUUUAGCUUUCGGCAUGUGUUGAGCAACAUUAAUUUGAUGAUGGUGGUAUGGCUAACCUGGGCCUUACCAUUGAAUAUUUUUUUUUGGGUUCAAAAGUAAGGUCUUCUUUUUUUUUCUUUUCUUUUUUUUUUCUUUUUUCUUUUUUUUUUUUUUUGUGUGUGGACAGAAUUAGAAGGUCCUUACUAUUGAUUUGGCUCCUAGGAAACUUGUCAUCCCCAGUCUUUUUUAUUUUAUUUUUAAUAUAAGCGAUAAUCUAAACUACGAAGGGGAGGGAGUUUCUCGACACAUACACUACCAAAGUGCCAUGGGGAUUUGAACUUGAGAUCAUUGAUCUGCAUAUCAAAACCCUUUUCAAUUAUGCUAGACCUCGUUGGCCACACCAGUCUAUUCUUAAUUUGCUUGUUGAGGAUUAUGUUAGGUUUUGUAAUUAGGAGCAAAUUAUGGUUCACUAGUAUUCGAUGCGAAAACAAGGGCAAAUCUAUAUGCCACUCCAGCCCAGUGCUGAAUUUUUAGAAUAUACAAACUUAGGCAGUUGUCCAAGCCCAAACUAGGUAAAUCAAAUAUUAGUCCACCCCUCUAUUUUAAAAUAAGGCCACCUCUGCAUAAAUCCAACCAUUGGAUUGACUAGAAUACAUGCGAUGCAACUUUGGAGCGUCUUACUGUGAUGAGAUUUCCUUCCAGCAUGUCCUUCAGGAAGCUAACUUCACUGCUGACGCUUUAGCUAAUAUAGGCCACAAUCUGAACACUUCCCACCUUUGGGAUCGGGGUCUUCCUUUAAGUUGCUCGACUCCCUUCUACUUUGAUCUAGUUGGGCCUGUGUGCCCUCGUGGUUUCCGUUUGUAAUUUUUUUGUUUCCGUUUGUAAAUAUUGUUGAUAUGUGGUCAUGUUGGCCUCACCACCCCUAAAAUAAGGCCCCACGUGCCUCCAUAAAGGUAAAUAUAAUAUUGUUUAUUAUAAAAGUGAAUGAUAAUUUCCUUUUGGACUAACGACAUUUCACUCUAUUGAGGUUUAGGGUUUGUAUCGAAAUAGGCCCCGAGAUUUCAAUUUCAUCGAUUCCAAAUCCUGUCUUAACAUCCUCAAUACUUAAUAUAUUUCAUCUAAAGCCAAGCAAGAAAGGAGCUGGUGCUUUUAAAGCCCCACUGGCCUCAACUUCAUGUCAACUAAUGCUUCAACUGCAAGAUCAAAUGGUGUAGAUGAAGCAUAAUGAAGAAAGGGAUCAUUAAGGUAUUUGGUUGUUAGAUUAGCAUUUUGUGAUGUAAUUGGUUUUUGUUGUUGGUUAAUUGGUCCUAGGGUUUAGGCCUUGUUGUUUUUGGUAAAUUGGUCCUAGAGUCUGACUGCAAGAGUGCCUAUGAUCUGCUGGCCAUUCUUUGAUGACCAGAGAACCAAUUGUUAUUAUACUUGCAAUGAAUUGGGCAGUGGCAUGGAGAUUGAUAACAAUGUCAAGAGAGAUGAAGUGGAGAUGCUUGUUAGAGAGUUUAUGAAGGGAGAGAAGGGUAAGAAAUUGAAAAGGUAGGCUGACUGGAAGAAACUAGCAGAAAAUGCAACUGAUCCACAUGGCUCCUAAUCCAUUAACUUAGAUAAUUUAGUCCAUCAAGUGCUGUUAAGAAAAAAAAAACUAGAUGUUAUCCAUAUCCAUAUUCAUAUAAAUAAAAAAUCGCCACAUUAUUGUUGGUAUCUCUAUUAUUAUUAUUCAUGUAUGAUGUCAUGCGGAGUCUAAUAGCAUGUUUUCUUUUCACUAUUAGAAAAGUCACUUAUAAGCCACACAUUACAUGUGGCCAACAUUCAUGUUGGCUACAAACAACCGUGGCCAAAGAGUAUUGCCUUUUACUUUUGGCCACGACAAAAAUGUCUGUAACCUAUAGGUGGUAGAUCCCACCAUGUCUCCCCACCCUUACAAAUGCCUGCAUUCACUAAUUAAAAUAUUAAUAUUUUUUAAAUCCCCGUAAUCAUUACCAAAUGAUGAAGAUAGCUAGUACAUUUUUUUUGUUUUGUGAGCCACUGUUCUUUUAGAGACGUUCUAACAAUUAUCUUCCUUUGUUUUAAUUUCUAUUUCUUAUUUUGUUCUUAAAAAAAAAAAAAUAUUGAAAGAAGUAAAUAAAAUAAACUUUGGAUAAACUGUGGUGAGGGAUUUGGAAUAGUACAUAAAAUAUUGGGAAAUACGCGGCUUUGCCCCUGGCGCACAUGUUUUUUUCACUAAUAUCCCUUCUUUGAAACCUAAUUAAAAAUGCCCUCUAUAAAACCUCCCUAAUGCCUGUGUAUUGCCCUUGUAUCACUUUUUUUUUGUGGUUCUGAGCUCAGAGCUCUCACUCUCACUCACUCACCCACUCACCUCUUCUCUUGUCUGUUCUCUCUCCCUUUCACCCACAUUGGCGACAGCAAUUGUCACCUCCUCAGAACCCACAUCGGCGACGACGACCUCACUCUCUCUCUUUUGGCCGCUAUUCUUCACCUCCAUCUCUCACUCUCUGUCACCUAUUUCAACCGCCGUUCUUCCCCUCCGGUUCAACAAAUUUCUCAAUUUUCUUCAGCAUUCCUGAAAUCCAUAUAACUAGAGAUGACAUCCCAGGUACCCAGCUCAACUUUACGCCUUUACUUUCAUACCCAUAUGUUAGUUGGGUUUUCUUCUGCUUGUUUCAAUUUCAUAUAGUGGUUUAGAAAGUUGCUCAAAAUCCAAAUUCUUGGUACAUCGUUUUAUUUAUCAUGCUUAUUUGCUUGUUCUGAAUAUAUGAUUCUAUUUGUUUGGUUAGGCUGAGUUGAUGAGUGCAUGAAAAAAUGGCCUGUAGGCGUUCGAUGAAUCACCUUAAUGAGGCGCACUAUGGUUUUCUUUGAGAUAUAAACCAAUUGGGACAAUUCUCACGGUAUAUACUUAAAGGUGAACUUCUAGGAGGACCCAAUGAACCCAUCUAAAUGGAAGGAAGAACAUGUGAAUUUUAUUAUAAUUUGUUUACGAAGAUGUCUUUACAGUGCAUAAUGGUUUUGUUAGAUCGCCAUUGACAUUAGUUUAAUUACCUUUUAACAAUGCUUGAGAAAUGUCCCUGUUUUUACAUGAAGACUUACACAAGCACCAUAUUAUGUCAGUUUAUAGUGAAUGGAUACUUGGUUGUGUCAUUUGAUAUUUGGAAUUCUAUUAGAUUUAUUUUCUUAUUUUUCAACUUUUGGGUCAUGCCUUGAGUUUCUUUCAUUUCGACAUCGGCAUUUAACUUGUGCUGUGAACAAGUUAAUGUUAGAUUUCUUUAAUACACAAACUGGAUCUUUCACGCAAAUUGUAACAUGUAUAAAGACAUGAAGACAUACCAAAAGCCAUCUUCUUUGAGUACACAGCUUCUGAACUCAUCCAAUCCGUAGCAGCAGCAAUCCUAGCAAGAACAAGAAUAGCUCAAGACUUAUGCUCUCUCUCAUAAUCUAUUUUAGCUCUCUCUUUAUCAUGAGAAUAGGUUUAGAGAACGUGUCUGAUGAGAGCAGGGCCUUUAGCUUAUAUAGGGCUAGGUCAAGUCGUCUCUACUCAUCACCAAGGGCCGACUUGACUUAUCUUCCAAGCCCAGUUAAUCGAGUCACGCAUAAAUGGAAAUAAAAUAGGACCCCUUAAUAGGCCUCAAAACCCUUCCUUAUUUCACUAGGUUUUGGACCUCAAGGUACAACUUAAUUUAAACUCUUAUCAAACCUGAUAUGACUUAGUAUCUAGUGCACCGAUCUAAAUAGAAAAACAUAACAUUCUCCCACUAGAUCAAGCACUAGAACACUAAGCUUCUGUAUUCCGAAAGGUUUGAUUAUCUUCAUUGGCCAUGAGUCUAAAACAGUUAAGUCCUUCCCCUCAAGCUACCGUGAAAAGUGAUUAAACAAAACGAACUAUAGAGAAGCACUGCUCUCUUUAUUAAAAACAGGUCAUCUAUAAUUACAUGAUGCAAUCUCAAAACACAUGAAGCACCUACAACGCGAACCUUAAUAUGUACUGAUCCUUAAUGUGAAUCUUUAUGCAUUUCAGUACAAGUACCCCUUUACGACUUAGCAACAGUCAAUCCGCAAUGUUAUUAAAAAUAAUAGUAUCUCUAAAGAAACCAUAAACUCACAUGCAUAAUAAGUUUAAAUAGCUAAAUAGUCAAAAUGGUAGAAUUUAUUCAAUAAAAAAUAAAACUGUCAACCAAAUUGACAUCCUUAAAUGCAAAUCCCUUAAUCCAGAAAAACAGCAAAAUAAACAAACCAAACAAACUAGUAAAAAUAUCAUAAUGGGAACAAGACUCCCACUAGAUUGUAGCAUCAAAGCUAGGAAAAAGUCCCAUGCUCUCAACAUUUCUCAGAAAAAGCUUCCGAAGGCAAAAACUUUGUGAACGGAUCUGCAAUCAUAUCUUGAGUUCUAAUAUGAUCAAAUCUGACUAGUUUGUCCGCUACCUUCUCCCUCACUAUUAAAUACUUUCUGUCAAUAUGCUGAAGUUCAAAUGACAUCUUCUUGUUCAUGCAGUGAAAAACAAUCGCAGUGUUGUCAUUAUAUAUCUGUAUUGGUCUAUAAAUCGAGUUCACCACCUUAAUAUCUUUAGUAAAAUUCCUUAGCCAUACUGCAUGAGAAGUGGCUUCAUAGCAAGCUAUGUAUUCUGAAAACAUGGUUGAACUCGAAACAUGCGUAUGUAAAUCAACAUAUAAGCCUUUGUUCUAUGUAGGUCCCUCAAAACCUUCUUUCCAACUAUCCAAUGUUGCAUUCCCGGAUUUGACUGAAAUCUCCCCAUCUAGCUAAUGCACAAGGCUAGGUCUAGCCUUGUACACACUUGUGCAUAAAUAAUGCUUCCAACUAGAGAAGCGUAUGGCUUGUUCCUCAUCUCAUCUUCUUCUUCUUUAUUCUUGGGGCAAUGCUCCUUCUUUAAAUCUCCUUUAGCUAAUGAAACUUUCUGUCCAGAACACAUACACAUGUCAAAACACUUGAGUACCUUAUCAAUGUAUGUCUUCUGUGAUAGGCCUAGAAGGCCUCAAGCCCGGUCUCUCUGAAUCUCAAUGCCCAACACAAGAGCAGCUUCUCCCAAAUCCUUCAUCUCAAAAUUAUUUGAAAGUAGUUCCUUGGUGUCUUUCACUAAAUUGUGGUCAUUUGUAGCCAAAAGUAUGUCGUCGAUAUACAGCACCAGAAAAAUAAAUCGACUCCCACAUUUCUUUAGAUAAAGGCACUGGUUAGCUAUGUUCUCUUCAAAACCAUAAUAGGAAAUAGUUUGGUGGAAUUUGAAAUACCACCUCCUGCUUGCUUGCUUCAGUCCAUAAAUUUCCUUGCCAAGUUUGCAAACUAUAUGCUUUUUGUCCUUCACCAAAUUGUGGUCAUUUGAAGCCAAAAGUAUGUCGUCGACAUACAGCACCAGAAAAAUAAAUUGACUCCCACAUUUCUUCAAAUUAAUGCACUGGUCAGCUAUGUUCUCUUCAAAACCAUAAGAGGAAAUAGUUUGGUGAAAUUUGAAAUACCACCUUCUGCUUGCUUGCUUCAGUCCAUAAAUUGCCUUGCCAAGGUUGCAAACCAUAUGCUCAUUUCCUCCUUUGCAAACUCUUCAAGUUGCCUUAUAAAAUUUUCCUCUUCAAGUUCUCCAGUCAUGGAAGUAGUUUUUAGAUCCAUUUGAUGUAAAAGUAGGUCAUAAUGGCCCACCAAAACCAUAAUGACGUGGAAAAAUCUUUGGUGGAAAUUGGAGAAAAUGUCUCAGUAUAAUCAAUUCCCCCCCUUUGGGUAAAUCUUUUGGCUACCAAUCUAGCCUUAAACCUUUCGAUUCUUUCAUCCUUAUCUUUCUUUUGUUUUGAAUAUCCAGUUCGAGCCUACCAAUUUCUGGCUCUUGUGGGGUUUAACUAAUUCCCAUACUUGAUUAUUCUUCAUGCUCUCAAGUUCUUUCAACAUCGCUUCCCUCCAUUUGUCUGCAUUUUGACUUUCCAUUGCUUUUCUAAAACUUGUUGGAUCAGCCUCAUCUCCAUUGUCAAAUCUGCUUCUUUAAAGUACACAUAAUCUGAAUUUGUUGUGGAUCUUCUUGAUCUGUCAGCUCUCCUCAGUUGUACAGGUUCUUGUGGAUCAUCCAGCUCAGGAUUCUCAACAACUUGUUCUUGUGGUUCAACUGGUUCUUCAAAUUGAGGAUUUUCCAAUACAGUUUUACUUAAAGGAAUCAAGGGUGUAACAUCUUGUUUAGCAUUCUCAAUCACAGCUACAUCACCUUUUUCUUCAAAAUAAAAUCUUUAUUCCCAGUGGCAUUCUCCUCAUGCUCUAUAAACUUUGCACAACCAGUCUCAACAAUUCGGGUACCAUAUUUUGGACAAUAAAAUCUGAAACCCUUUGACCUUGCGAGAUAACCUAUAAAAUGACAUCUUAUCGUUUUAGGAUCAAGCUUCUACUCUCGAGGGUUAUAGAUUCUAGCUUCAGCCUUGCAACCCCAUACAUGAAGAUAUCUUAGGCUAGGUUUUCUGGUAGUCCAAAUUUUAAAAGGUGUCUUAGGUACGCAGUUACUAGGCACUCUAUAGUUUGUUGUUUUUUAUCGCCUCUCUUAAAAUUGUAGGCAAAUCAGUUCUAGAAAUCUUGCUAAGGACCAUGUCCUUCAAGGUUCGAUCCUUUUUCUCAGCCACACCAUUCUGUUGCAAAAUUCAUGGUGUUGUGUACUGAGUAACUAUUCUAUUAUCUUGUAGGUACCUAGCAAAAAGUCCAGCAUGUCGUCCUCCUUCAUCAAAAUGUCUUUAAUCCUUUUCUUAAGCUGCCUUUCUACUUCAGUUUGGAAAAUCUUAAACAUUUCAAAGCUUCAGACUUUUUUAUGCUAUGAGAUACAGAUAACCAAAACGAGAAUGGUCAUCUAUAAAGGUGAUGAAAAAGCGAUUUCCAUGAAUUGUUUGAUGAGGGAAAGGUCCACAAAAAACUAUGUGGAUGAACUCUAAAAGUAUCACUAUCGCGAGUUGCACCUUUCUUCUUAGUCUUAGUGAGUUUUCCUUUGACACACAUAAUACAAAUUUCAUCAUCACCGAAAAAUAGUGAUGGCAAGAUUUGUUCCUUAACUAGAAUUUUCAUUCUUUCUUUUGAAAUGUGCCUUAAAUGCCUAUGCCAUUCAAACUUUACUAUCUUUAUUGUAAUUGAGACAACAUAAUCCAUCUUUAUUAUCUUUGAAUUUUGAGAUACAAACACAUCUUUAUUGAAACCAAAAUAAAACCAAGUCUUAAUAAUCUUGAAACAAAAAUUGAAUUUCUCUUUAUUUAGGGUACUGAAAACUACAUCAUCCAACUCUAAAAGAAAUCCUGAAUUCAACUUAAAAAAUAACUACUCCAAUAAUAUUUAAGGAAAACAACAGGUAGCUAUCUAAUCCUCCUUGUCACAACUUGCUGCCAUGAAAGUGUUGUUCUCUCUAGCAGGGAAUGGGUCAAGUACCACUAUCUCUCUAUUAGUGGCGGCAUCUAAAUUCUCAACAUGUGAUUCAGGUUGGGGUUUAGGUUUCACAGAUUUCACUAGGAGAUUCUUGUAUCGAAGUAGCUUAUUGAUAUUUCUUCCUCUCCUAUAAGCGCAUACACUAAGAUUUAUAGAGGUCCUAAGACUUUUGAGACUGUCCUUUGUAGUCGUGUAUAUCCUUAUGGGCCCUCCAUAUGGUUAACAAUUUCGCUGCGCCUUAACCCUUUUUCGCUCCAGCUCAUCUUCGUGCCACUUCUUAAUUAACUCCACUGUAUUCUUUACUAGAAUGCCAUUCAUGACAAGUUGGCAUGAGUGAUACCUAUUGAAUGCCAGAUUUUUUUUUUUUUUCACCUAAGCUCUAGGAGUUAUACUACAAGACACAUAAGUGAAAAGGCUAACGUGAAUUAAAUAUAGCCAUGAGUGAGAUCAUAAACGAUCUCAUUCAUUCCGACAAUAACUUUAAAACCAAACGUCCAUAAAUUAAAGUUUGAUCUAAUGAAUCUUUCAAUUUGCGUGAAAUUGAUUGAGGGAGUGUUUAAAGCUGUAAGGAUUUGCAAACAAAAGCAUAUUACUUUCCUAGAAAUCGAUUCUCAAUUUGUUAAGAGAAAACAGUUUAACUUUAUUCACAGAACUAACAAAUAAUAUAUGCAAGCGUCCUUAAUUAAGUAUCACACCUUUGUGGCAAGAGAUUACUUAUAGCUUACACAAAUUACAUAUUAUCUUGUGCCAUCACAAAUAAAUUACAUGACAGAUUCUAUUUGUUAAAGAAACUUAUCAAGCAAUUUAGGUAUGAUGUAAUUUUCGAUUAUUUCUUUAGGGUUUGAGUAUUUAGGUUUGGUUUUGUUAUGAAAAGUUUGUUGAUUCCCAUAACAAAGACAAACAUAUAUCUGACUCAGAAAAAUAACCAAACAAAACACAGUUCAACAAGGAAAACCCUAAAAUUGCAGUGAAUAGUGUUUCGGCCGUGAACAGUGUUUUAGAUGUGAACAGUGUUUCGGCAGCGAACAAUGUUUUAGGGGUUCUUAGUGUCCGUUUUUGACACAAAAUACCUUUCUGCAUAGGGAAAGACCUAAUUAACACAACUCACAAAGAAGUUGUGACAUAUGGCCAUUUUUAGGGUUUUAAGGUGAUCUGCUAGGUCAAAAACGUGUUUAAAGUUUUUGAAAAUAUGAAAACCAAAUCAAAACAUGCUUUUCCAUAUUCUUGAUAUUUUCAUAAACAUAUUUAAACCAUCUUCAAAAAUUAAACAUAACCAAAAGAACUGAGCAUGGCAUAAACUGAUAUGAAAUCAUGGUAGACAUGCUUGAACAACGAUUACAGAUAAGUGCGAACAACCUUAAGCUCUGAUACCAACUGUGAGAUUUAUUUAAUACACAAACUGGAUCUUUCACACAAACUGUAACACGUAUAAAGACAUGAAGACAUACCUGGAGCCAUCUUCCUUGAGUACACAGCUUCUGAACUCAUCUAAUCCGUAGCAGCAGCAAUCCUAGCAAGAACAGGAACAACUCAAGACUUCUGCUCUCUCUCAGAAUCUAUUUCAGCUAUCUCUUUAUGAUGACAAUAGGUUUAGAGAAAGUGUCUGAUGAGAGCAGGGCCUUUAGCUUAUAUAGGGCUAGGUCAAGUCGUCUCUACUCAUCACUGAGGGCCGACUUGACUUAUCUUCCAAGCCCACUUAAUCGGGCCACGCAUAAAUGGAAAUAAAAUAGGACCCCUUAAUAGGCCUCAAAACCCUUCCUUAUUUCACUAGGUUUUGGGCCUCAAGGUACAACUUAAUUUAAACUCUUAUCAAAUCUGAUAUAACUUAGUAUCUAGUGCACCGAUCUAAAUAGGAAAACUUAACAGUUAAUACUACAUUGUUUUGUGUCAUUGUGAAAUUGAGAAAUAAAGUUCAUGUUAUUAUUUUGCAGGAAUUCUAAGUGCUAUGAUAUGGCAAAAAAGUAUGUGAACAAACAAAAGAAACAUAGAAAAGGUCUGAUGCUGCUACUUCACAUGGCCAGGUUUUGCUGCUGCUUCGUCUUCCUCAUUUACCUAAAAGAAAGGGUCUAUAUCUCUAGCAUUUGCAUCCAAAUGUCCCUUGCCAUGCCAUGCCCUACCCUGCCCUUCUGUACUAGCUAGCACUACAGCCCCUGUUGUACGUGGUCCCCUGAUUUGGUUCCUUUGAGCCAUGCGAUGCUUUCAGCUUCCUAGAUCCAACUCCAAUGACUAUUUUUUAUUAAGUCAUAAUUUACUGCCUAUAAUUAGGACCUGCGGUUUGAAAUUUUUAAUUUGGAACAAUUCAUGUACUGUUAAAACAUAAAUGGUGCAAAGCCAAUGCCGAGAAUAGAAAAAAUAAGCAAUAUGAUCAUACGGCGGUUAACACCCAUGUAGAUAUGCACUGAUCAUCAAGCUUGAGCAGUAAGGCCUUUCGUCUUGUGCUUGGUAGGUUUGCUUUUCCUCGUCCAUUAGAUGUUUUCCAAUUCUGAGGUGAUAUGAUACUCUUCCUCUUGGCAUUAUUCUCAUGGCUGUGAAAUUUCAGUUUGCAAUGAAUGACUAUAUCAAUCUAAAAGAUUAUUUUUGUGUAGAAAUUGAAUGAAAGUAAAUUGUACUGCAUACCUCUGUGGUGUCUAUGUUCUGGAGUUAAUGUUGUUGAUCAAUGAUCAGCCUCUUUCAUAAUUCUUUCAUUGAUUAAUAUUGUUGUUCUCUCAUUGUUCCGGAGUUAACUUGAUUGAGUUUUGAUGCACUGCUUGAAAUUUUGGACACCAUCUGAGUUAUAAGUUAUGAAUGAAGCACAGACGAAAAACAAUGAACUCUAUUUUUAUAAGAAACUUAGUCUGCUUUGAGUCUUUUCUUGAUACAUAAGUAGGAGAUUUUAAAUUGGGCUUGUUUGUACUUUUGCGCAUCUGCAUAUAUAGCACUAAAAGGAAAGUGAUGGUUCCAAUAGAGCAUAUCAAAGAUCUACCUCAUUAGUACCAAUUUGUCUUUUGUAUUACUCUGUAUAUACAUAUUUAUAUAUGUACAUAUUGUUAUUGCUUUAUUUUGUUUCUGUUGUAGAGGAAGAUGAUGGAUGAAUUUGAGAAGGUGAAGCAACAAUUGGUAGAGUACGAGAUCAUGUCAUGGCCCAUAUCCCACAAGCUUGGUCUCUAGCAAUUUGAAACCCUAACUCUUAAGUCUUGAGAUAAUUGGCUCUCUUUUUUUUCAUAACAGUUGGACCAAGAUUAUUGUUGGCUUCUAGAAGAUUGUUGUCAUUGUGAACCUUCAUCAAUUUGGGGUGGGACAACAUUCCAUUCAGUUGUAAGAAGUGUACUGCAGUUAUAAGGAAAAAAAACAUGUAAUUAAGCAACUAUUUGUGUGUCAGACAGACCAUGUAAUUAUUUAGUCCUCAUGGAAUGAAAUUGAGUUCAAUUUACUUGAGAAAUUUCAGUCUUGAAUAUGUUGUUUUUAUAUAUUUGCAAGUGUAUGCAAUGAAAAAAUACUUUUAUUUAUAUUAUACAUUGAAGAGAGCACAUUAUAUACAUUAUGUGUAUAUAUAGCUCAUUCUUCUUUAUAUUAUGUGUAUAUAUAGCUCAUUCUUCUUGCCUUUGUAUAGGGAUGGCAAUAGGUUGAAUAGGGGGUGGGUAUGCCAUUCCCAUCCCUCUAUCCCCGCAAAGCUUUUUUCCCCCAUCCCUACAUUCAUACCAGCAAUACAGACUUGAAAAAAAAAAAGAUAUACGAGGGCAAUGCAGUAGCAAUACACAAGCAAUAAAGGGCUAUACAAUGGCAAUACACAAACUCCAUACUACCCUUAUAAAUUUAUUCCAACAUAGACUUGAAAAAAAAAUAUAUACGGGGGCAAUAUAGUGGCAAUACACAAGCAAUAAAAGGCUAUACAAUGGCAAUACACAAACUUCAUACUCCCCUUAUAAAUUAUUCCAAGACUUAAAAAAAAAGAUAUACGGAGGCAAUACACAAGCAAUAAAAGGCUAUACAAUGGCAAUACAGUAGCAAUACACAAGCAAUAAAAGGCUAUACAAUGGCAAUACACAAACUUCAUACUCCCCCUAUAAAUUUAUUUCAACAUACUUUAAAAAAAAGAUAUACAGGGGCAAUACACAAGCAAUAAGUAGCUAUACAUGUGCAAUACAUAUCAGUCAUGGCAUUUGCCAAUUAAAUCAUUAAUUUGGUUACAUUUGUAUUUUUUUCUUCUUUGCAAGGGGGACGAUAAAACCAUGGAAACUAUAGAUUGACAAAUUUCCUUCUAACUUGACUUUCAUAAAUUGAUGAACUAACAAUGUUAUCUCAUUACAUCUUAAGAUAUACAUAAGAAAGUGGCAAAAAAUAAAAAAUUUACAUCUCCUGUUGGUCUGGAAUUUUAACACAAUUUAUAUCUAUAAGAAAAAUUCCAAGACAUGUCCUCUUAGACCCGAAUUCAAGCUAAAAGUUAGCAAUUUCCUCCCCAAAAGAACCCCACCACUUGAAACAAGACAAUCUUCCAUAUGUAUAAAAUGGAUCAAAAAUGCAUAUUAGAAGCAAAUCAUUCAAUCACAGUGGAAACAAAAACAUAACAUUCAAUUACAACUGAAACCAAUUUCAAAACAAAAACCAAUACCGAAAUUCAUAUAGAUUGUUGGCUUUUCUAAAUGACCCAAUUCUUCAUAUGGCAAACUUUCACAAGACAGUACCAUUGCAAAAUUAAAGUUCAUAUUCAUGCACACAAUUUCAUACUACUCAAUUGCAAUUCGAAAGUAAUAAACAUGGGUGAAGUGAAUGUGUGUCUUGGCAUGCAAACAAAAAUACAAAUCAGGAAAUCAUCAAUAGUGCAUUUGGCAUUGUUCAAACAGUUAAAGAAGCACAGUAUCAGAGAAGAAGAAGAGCAAGACAAUGGAACUAGAUAAAUGCAAGAGUUAUCAACAAACCUUCAAGUUUUCCAAGAACCCUUUUCACAACACCAACACAACCUUGAGGAUUGUAGACUGCACCAAAACAAUAGAGAAAAUAAAGAUCCAACAUAUGCCAACUUUACAGUAUCAAAAGUAUGUUAAAAUAUUGGCAUUCUCAUAAAACUUACAAACUCUCCAAUCACAUUCAAAAGAAGUAAACAAUGAGAAUCUUGCAUUUGUUGCUGGUCUAUUGGUUUCAAAGGUUAAAACCCACAUUACUGUUAUUUCAGAGAGCCUCUAUGAGUUUUAUAUGUAUUCUUACAGGUUGCUCAGAAAAGCCAGAAUUCCUAAUUUGAUAUAUCACCUAAGUGAUUUCACAGACAAAUCACAAUCACAAAAGAGUGAAUACACCACUUUCAAGGAGGUCUGCAAGUCCAAGCCUUAAUCACAAACAAUGUAUGCAUGAUUUCAGAGACAAAUCAUAAGCACAAAACAGUGUAUCCAAGUCCAAGAGCUUGACAACCACAGGAAAUAGUUGGUAAAUUUCAUUCAAUCACAGAAACAACAAACAAACCACAGCAGAAACCCAUUAAUGUCUCAUUCAAAAUAGUGAAAGUAAUCACCCAAUAAUCUCAAUCAAUAACAGAAACCCAAAAAAAAAACAAAACAAAACCAAUAUUAGAACUCACCACAGUGAAGAUCGAAGAUGAAGGUGUUGUGGGUUUGUGAUGGAAGUCGACGACGAAGGUGGAGAGUCACGAUUAUGGCUUCAUUUUGGAGGCCGACAACAGAGGUGGCGAGUCACGCCUUGGCUAGGGUUCGAUUCUGAAUUUGGGGUUCAACCUUAAGGUUCAAAUUAGCUCCUAGUUUGAAGAUAUAACUAAGUGAAAAUUGAAUUAAGCGAGAUUCUACGGUGGAGAUGGAUUUUCUGUGAGGUUUGAAGAAGAGGAAGAGAAAGAGACUAGGGAGAAGAGGAAGAGGAAGAGGAAGAGCAACGACUGAGAAGAAGAAAAAAAGUGACAGAUGGGCAAUAGACUGUCAAUAGGGAGUUUUUAUAGGGGGUAUUUGUGAUUAGAUUUCAAAAUGGGGAUAUUAUUGAAAAACUUAAUUGCGCCGGGACAAAGCCGCCAAUUUCCCUAAAAUAUUAGCUACGGAUCUCCGUCGGCCACGGGGAUUAUGUGUAAUUGUGUUUCAGCCACAAUUGCACCGUGACUUAUGUAUUUGAGGCCACAUGUGCAUAAAAAUCAAGAAAAAGAAUAAGACAAACACUACCGAAGACUUAAAAUCAAGAAAAAGGAUUCUUAGUUAUUUAUGUUCCACUUUGCUACUUCAUCUAAGUCUAAGUCGUUUUGUCGUGAUUGAUCAACUGACUUUUCUUUUUGUCGAAAAUUUGACCAUUUAUCAACCAAUGAUUAACUUGUAGAUUAGUUCUUUAUGUUGCUAGACUUCUUUUUUGGACAUUAUCCUCAGUCAGAGAGCCAAAACAGGACACAUUGAAGUAGCUAAAACAGGCCCAUGGUAGCUCAGUUUUGCUUUAUAAAAAAUCUGCAUUUGCAAUGCGCACACAAAAGCUUAGAUGGAUUCCACAGAAGUAGCUACUAAGACACAUGCUGUUUGCAUUCCAUUCCCUGCUCAAAGCCAUAUAAAGGCAAUGCUUAAAUUUGCAAAGCUCCUCCACCAUAGAGGUUUUCAUAUAACCUUUGUUAACACAGAGUUCAAUCACAAGCGCUUUCUUAAAACUCUAGGAUCCAAUUCCCUAGACGGCUUGCCUGAUUUUCAAUUUUAAGCCAUCCCGGAUAGCCUUCCAGAUUCAAAUGAAGACACCACACAAGAUGUCACUUUGCUUUGUGAGUCCGUCAGAAAAAAUUUAUUGGCUCCCUUUCAUACCCUCCUUGCAAAACUCAACAAUGAUGCCAUAGAAACAUCUACCAAUCCUCCAGUGACUUGCAUAGUUUCAGAUGGUUUCUUGUCCACGUUCACAAUCACAGCUGCUGAAGAAAUUGGAGCCCCUAUAGUGAUGUUCUACACUGUAGCUGCCUGCAGCUUCAUGGGAUGUAAACAAUUUUGCGCCGUGGUCGAAAAAGGACUUGCUCCACUCAAAGGUGAAAUAUAUAACUAUUAAUUGAAGCUAUUGUUGUUUAACUUAUGGUUAACUCUUAACUGCUUGUUGCAAAUGAAACGUUUCUUCAAUUGAAUUUCAUUUGUACUAUUGCAGAUGAGAGCUGUUUAACAAAUGGCUAUCUGGACACCGUAAUAGAUUGGAUCCCAGGAUGAGAGACAUCCGUUUAAGGGAUCUUCCGACCUUUGUGCGAACCACAAAUCCGGAUGACAUCGUAUUUAACUUCAUCCUGGAAGCAACCGAUAGAGCUCAUGAAGCUUCAGCAAUCGUUAUUCAUACUUUUCAGACAGAUGUUUUGGAUGCUCUCUCAUUUAUGCUUCCCCAUGUUUACUCCAUUGGACCUCUUCAAUUGCAUCUCAAUGAAAUACCAGAACACCAUUUGAAAAUGGUGGGAUACAGUCUAUGGAAAGAAGAAACUGAAUGCGUCGAGUGGCUAAACACGAAGACAACCAAACUCAGUUGUCUAUGUGAAUUUCGGCAGUAUAGCAGUCAUGAGUCAUGACACCAGAACAGCUUGUGGAGUUUGGGUGGGGACUUGCUAAUAGCAAGCUUCCAUUCUUUUGGGUAAUUAGACCUGAUCUUGUUAUUGGAGAAUCUGCUAUUUUGCCGCCUGAGUUUGUGGCUGAAACUAAGGAAAGAAGUCUAAUAGCUGGGUGGUGCCCACAAGAGCAAGUCCUUAACCACCCAUCAGUCGGAGGAUUUUUAACGCACAGCGGUUGGAAUUCAGCUGUUGAGAGCCUUACUGCAGGAGUUCCUAUGCUCUGUUGGCCAUUCUUCGCAGACCAGCAAAUGGACUGUCGCUAUACUUGCCACGAAUGGGGCAUUGGCAUGGAUAUAAAGUAAUGAUGUGAAGAGGGAUGCGGUAGAGAAGCUUGUCAAAGAGUUAAUGGAGGGAGCGAAGGGUAAGAAGAUGAAAAAUAAGGUCAUGGAGUGGGAGAAACUUGCAGAAGAAGCUACAGGUCCGCAUGGUUCGUCAUCCACAAACCUAGAGAAUUUAGUGAACCAAGUGUUAUUAAGAAAAAGAUGAAGAUUUUACCAUAAGAAUAUUGAUGUUAAUUAUCAUUUUCAUUAAGCUCAUAUUAUAUAUUGAUGUCUUCCAAUGACUGCUAAAUCCAGAAUGUUUUAGAAUCCUCUUAAUUACUUGACGCAUUUGACAUCUGCUUAAGGUUUCAACUCAAAAUUCUCAUCAGUCAUCAAAUUAUACACGCUUUCUUCUGCCAAUUGUGCAUUAUAAUAUAUUAAAUCAAUAGAUUAAAAAAAUAAAGUUAGACCAUUUUCAACAAAGAAAUUAUGUGGAAGUUUCUUUAAUGCUUAAUCUGAAAGAAAGAAAACACAAACAAGGUUAAAGAAAAGAGAAAAUCCAAAUCCUACUUGUUUCCUCGUCUUCCAAAGCCAAAUUCAAACCCCACUCAAAUCCGUUAGAAAGUUUCUAAUUGUUUAUUUCAUUUCAUACUACAUACAAAGAUAACAACAGCUUGAGUAAAAAAGAAAAAAAAAAUGAUACUUUUACUUAGAUGCUCCAUUUCAAACCAUAGACACUCCUCUAACGUGAGCUUGAUUAGGGACAAAACCACUUGAAUUAAAGAGUUAUUUCACCAUACUGUUCUUUUUAGUCAUUAUACACAGCUCACAACACUUUCACACAAAAAUUUACCAAACACUCAAAAACUAAUUAUUGUACCAACAUCACUUUUAAUAAAAAAUUUGCCAAACGCCAAACUACUUUUUUUCACAAACUAAUUUCUCUAACAGUAAAUUUGACGGUGAUUAUUUUCACAUCACAACAAUGCCAACCUAGCCUUGUUUUAGAUUCUUAUUUCAAUUCCUACUUCGUUUAGGAUUCGUAUUUUAAUCUUAUUUCCUACCCACUAUAAAUAAGGCUUUUAGGAAGUCAUAUUAUUAUUUAUGGCAAGCCAGGUGAUGUUGAGGGAUUAAGCCCUCUUCAAUUAUACACCAAGCGAAUAAGAACCAUUGCUAAAUGAAGCAAGGUAAUUACAUAAUAUUACAAAUGAAACUAAGCUCUAGUUAUCUCCAUGUGCUCAAAAAUAAAACCCGAUCGAAUGCAUCUUCAUCGUUUAAUGAAUAUGGCGCUUUGCAGUUCAAAUAUCCUUUAUAUGAGAGAGCUUCCAUUGAGUGAUUCCUCCAAUAAGUUAUUUGAGGGACACCCUUGUAGGGUCCACUUCACAUUGUAUUUCACUAAUGAAGAAUAAGGCCAUGGAGUGGAAAGCAUUGGCAGAGCAAGCAACCGGUCCACACGAUUCUUCGUCCACAAACUUAGACAAUUUAGCUAAUCAAAUGCAAUCAAGAAAACUCUAGAUGUUCUCUGCAUCCACAAACUUAACAAGAUCAUGCACUGCAAGCCUAGAAGUUAUUGGUUCAAUGAACUCGCAACAUGUUUACCAUCUUCAAUUUUUGUUCAACUACAAGUUUUAAAUUGAUCUUAGUGUUCCAAUAUCUGUUAUGGUUUUAAGAUCUAAUAUUAAUCACUGAAAGAUACACGAUAAGAUUGAAUUUGAAGAAUACCAACAAGAACAUAGGAACAAUUUUUUUUUUUUUUUAAUAUAUCCUGCGAAACCUCACCAUUACCUCUCUCUCUCUCUCUCUCUCUCUCUCUCUCUCUCUCUCUCUCUCUCUUUCUAACAUCUUAAUGGCUUACAAGAUUUAGCUUUUAUUCAUUAUGAUUCGUAAUAACAUUAAAAAAUAUAUGGCAAAAGAUAGUUUGCUUGAAGUUCAUUGUGUGUGUGAGGGUCGAGAGUUAUAAUCCAUGUAUAACUGUAACAACCCAAAAAAUAAGCAGUAAAAAAAAAAAAGAAAAAAAAAAGUUAGGGAUGGAGAAGAAAAAGAAUCAAAAACCUGUAAAGCUUUAGAAGAAAGAGGAGGAGGAUGGGAAAGUCAUUAACUGAAGAAUUCUAGAGGAUAGAGAACGACGAAAUAGGAAGAUUUGAUAAAACAUUGAUUGAGGAUAGAGAAAUAAGAAAGAGAAAGUAAAUUAAUAAUUAUUUUCAAUAUAUAUUUUUCUUAAAUAAAAUGUACAAUUAGUUUAGUUAAUCUUAGCCAUUCAAUCCAUUUCAAUCUAAUAGUUGAAAACUUGUGUCAAAAAUAUUGUGCCACAAAAGAUUAUUUUGAUCAAAACAAACAAAAUUGAAAAAUAGGCUUUUGAAUUCUCCUUUUAGAAAUAAAGGAAAGUUUUAGUUCGUAACAUUCAGUUAAAUCAAUUGUUUGUUAAAGGAUUAUUUUGUUUUUUCCCUACUGUAUUUACUUGCUUUUUUUCCCUACUGGAUAUGUGUGUCAAUGUUUAUAUGCAGUAGACAAUAUAUAUGUUGUUCAAAUUUUCUGUACAACUAAUAAUCAUCAAAGUUUUCUUUAGAUGUGUACCAUAAUCUCCUUAAGUUUAUGCUUUCUCCGUAUAUUAUGUGUUGGGACGUUAAAAGUAAGCAAAAUGUCAUAGCAAAAUACUAGAUAUUAAACUCCCAACUAUAAGUUUUAAUUAAAAAUUAAUUUCAGUAUAUAUGCAUUUAAUUUGGAUGAAUUAAAUUCUUAUUUUUCGAACAUUUUUCUUCUCAACUGAAGCUCACACGAUUUGAAAUGAGGAGGAGAAGGGAAGGAAAAAUAAAGCUCCAAUAAAUAUAGAAAAUCCCUAUAUUCUAUUUAAAGCUUCCAUUAGACAGAUGUUGGAUACAUCCAUCUCGAGAGAAGGACAUUGCAUUUAUAGAGUUCCUGUCUAUCUACAAUGCAAAAGCACAGAUGUCUACACGCCUUCAGUAAUAUCCAUUGGCCCAGUCCAUCAUGGCACAGGCUGGAGGGGUCCCUAGGCCCGGGGAGCAAGUCCAGCGCGCAACAUCCAGCUCGGGCAAGGCUUGGGACCCACGAGCUCGGGCAAGCCCAAGGGGAGAUCUAGCUUGUCACCUUGCUUUCCAGCUCCUGACAUCAGCGCUGACCCACAGCUGCCAGAAACCAUCGGCUACAAACCACGUGGCUUCUCCUGGAGCCUCCAAUCUAAACAUGUUGUCAAAUCCAACGGCAGCUGUCUAUUUUGUGGCUAAAAAAAUUGAAAAACUUUGUCAAAAAUAUCAAAAAAUUAUGGAAAUUUUUUCUAUAAAUACCUACCAAUAUUAUUCACUUUCCACACUAAAUCUUAAUACAAAUUCAUCUCCUUCCAAUAUUUUUCACUUUCCACACAAUUUUCUACUACUAAAUUCCAUUUGUGUAAAAAUACAAAUGACAUCUUCCAUCGAAGCCAGAGGUGGAUGGACAACCGUGGAAGAUAUUUUGUUAUGUGAGUGUUGGGUCAAAGUUGGUCAUCUCUCGAUCACAGGCAAUGAGAUGAAGUCGUCUCAUAUGUGGAGAAAAAUUCAGGGGAAAUUUUGUGAAAGAUCGGGUUCAGCUCGUACAGAAAAUGGCAUUGGCUAGUAGGUGGAAAAUUUUGAAAAAAGAGUUAGGGAAAUGGAGAGAUGAGUUGGCAAAAGUGAGGGACACCAUUCGAAGCGGUCAAAAUCUUGCCGACGAGGUAAAAUAUUUAUAAAUGUUGUUUUAUUCAAUUUAAUGUCACAUUUUUUUAUAAUAUUUUCUUGCAUUUCCUUUUUUUUCUUGCAUUUUCUUUUUUUUUUUAAUAGAUUAUUCAAGCACAAAUGUGAUUAGGUGCCAUUGGCCAAGGCAAAAAAAAGUUUCAUCAAUCACAAAUGUUGGGACAUUGUGAAGAAUUGUUCGAGAUUCAAAAUUAUUUAUAUUAGUCCGAAGAUUGUGUUGAAUGAGACGCCACUCCACGAUUCACCGGCAACUGAUUCGCCAUUGGACUCCCCAAUGGAUCAAGACUCACUAAUCUAACGUGAGCCGAGGCCUAUUGGGAGAAAGGCGGAAAAAGCCAAGAGAGCACUUCGAACACUUAAUGUGCAAAAAUUUUGGAGCAAAUUGCUAAGAAUAGCGUACUGAGAAUUGAGAGAGACUUGAAAAGAGAAGAAGCUGAAAAGGCAUGAUAUAAAACAUACGCAAUUGAAAGGCAGCAUGCACAAGAACAAGACAUGGAGGACAGAGAAAUGAAAAUCAUAGCCAUGGACAAGAGCCAUAUGUCUCCUAAAAGAAAGUCCUCUAAAACAAAGGGAUGUUAUGAGAAGAAAGCUUUUCCAUGACGAUGGGCCUAGCAACACAGAUUGGUUAAAUGAUCAAAACCAUUAGGUUGUAUUGAAAGAGUUGCCAUAUAUAUAUAUAUAUAUUAAUUUGUUGUAUUGUUUCUUUUUUAUUGAAUACAGAAAGCAUCAAAUAAUAUAGUUAUUUAUUAAAAACAUUUCAUACAUCAAAACAAACCUUAAUUCAUUAUAACCACACACAAAACAAAGCAUAAUUAAAAACAAAGCAUUAAACUUGGUUUCAUCCACCCUGAUUACCUUUCAUCUCCCAUAAGUGCUCGAUCAAGUCAACUUAACAUCUCUCAUGAACAUAAGAACAUUGCAUUUCCUGAUAAUGGUCAAUCAUAGGGUUGUUGUAUUGACCGUCCCUAAUCAACGGUAUAUUCUCCAGUGGUUGUCCAUUUGCUCUCACGGACCGUUCAUAAAUACUUGUCAAUGUCGUGUUCAUGGGAUUGGGUUCGAACAUCUCUAGGGCAUCAUAAUCAUACUCAUCCUCCACAAUAAUGUUAUGGAGGAUGAUGCAAGUCAUCAUAAUGCUUCGAAGCACCUCUUCAUCAAACAUACGAGCAGCACCCCUAAUCAUUGCCCAACAAGCUUGCAAGAUACCAAAACACCUUUCCACAUCUUUCAUAUAACCCUCUUGAAGGGCACCAAAGCUUUUUUCCUUCUCCAAUUGGGGAUUCGGAAUUGUUUUGAUGAAUGUUGUCCACUUCGGAUAAAUUUCGUCGGUUAGGUAGUACACACCCGAGUGUACAGUAUUGUUGAUUUGAUACGUGAUCUGGGGGAAAUGACCUCUCAAGACAUCGUUGAAUACCGGGGAUUGACCAAGCACAUUGAGAUCAUUUUGAUAUCCAGAAACUCCGAAAAAGGCAUGCCAAACCCAAGUAUCGAAUGAUGCAACGACCUCUAGAAUUAUAUUUUUUUGGCCCUUCAUAUUCCCAUAAUCUCCUUGCCAAGCAGUUGGGCAAUUCUUCCACUGCCAGUACAUGCAGUCGAUGCUUCCAAUCAUGUUUGGGAAACCUCGAGCCUCGGCUUUUCGUUGGAGCCUUCAGAGGUCCCUAAGCGUAGGUUUGCGAAGGUAAUCCCUCAUGUAGAGAGUUUCUAUUGCAUCACAGAAUCUGACCAAGCACUCUAAGAUAGUUGAUUUCCCUAUCCUAGCAAUCUCAUCCACCUGAUUUGCAGAUGCCCUAUAUGCAAGGAUCCGUAAAGCAGCUGUAAGUUUUUGCUCCGAAAGAAGACCCAAACCCCAAGAGCAUCGUACUUCUGAACGAAGUAUGUGUCGUAAUUGCAAACAUCAUGCAUUAUUUUUUGGAACAAAUUGAGCUGCAUUCUAUAUCUCCCUCUAAAAUAAGAAACAGGAUAUAACAAUUUUGGGAUAAAGUAAUCUUCCAAAAGAUUCUUACUCCGAGAGUGCCUAUGUCUAUCCACAUUCGGGGCACGACCACAAUGGUGUUGCCUUGAUUGAUUUAGCAUACCCACCACUAAAACAACUUCUUCCUCCUCUUCAUCCAACUAGCGAUCUUCUUCAGCACGUCUGCGCUUGAUUUCUUCAUCUUCCUAAUGUUGCCUCUCCAACACCCUUCUCAGGUUAGACAUUGAGAGUAAAAUGUUUGUUUGUAAGAUCUGAUAAAUGAAAGGAUAGAGAAUAGUGACAAACCUUGCCUUUUCCUUGCCCUUAACCUUUGGGGUGGAAGUGCAUCCUCGCGCUUUUUGGGUUUCUUUCAACAAAACAAAUCGUCUUCUCACGUUUCUUCUUCUUCUCCCACUGCAUCUCCAAAUUUUAGUCUCAAUUAGAGAAGUUGAUUGCUAAGAAAGGCAACCCACUCAUACCCUAUGGCUCCGUUUGGUAGGCUGAUUGAUUAGGAUUGAGUUUGGAAUGUUGGACUAGAGUUAAGUCUAGUCCAUUGUUUAGUACGAGGCCACAGUGGACAACAUUGGACUCAAUUUUUUUUUUUAAUUCUAAAUUAAUUUAUUGUUUAUUAGAUCAUUUAACAUCAUAAAAAAAAUUAAUUAAAAACACAUCAAAUUACAAAACCAGUAUUUAAAAGAUAUGAUUUAAAAAUUUAUUCAUUUUUUCUGUUUUAAUAUAAAAAUAUCAUUUUAUCCCUGCAUUUAACAGAAAAAGUUAAUAAAAUUGAUGGUAGGACCAUUUGUCCUAACGAAAGUGUAGUUAAAGGACCAUGAGAACCAUAUUGAAAAUUGAGGUACUCAAUGCAAAUCGAAUCUAAGUUUAGAGACUAAUAAAAUGAUUAACCCAAACAAUUAUAUAACCAAUACAUCCAACGAGAUUGAGACUUCAAUAAAAUAAAAAAUAAAAAAGAGAUUGGGUCAUGAACACUCAGGGAAAAAAAAACUACAAUAUGAUGAACUGCAAUUUGGCUACUUUGCCAACUUUUGGUUCCCUAAUGUUGUGUUGUGUUUUGUGGGUUUUUGCCUUGUCUGGGUUUUUUGCUGUUAUGUGGUCUUUUGGCCUCCAUGUGGGCUUUAUGCCUUUAUAUGUGCUUUAUGCACUUUGUUAGUCUUAUUUGUAGUGAGCUCUAUGUCUGUUUGUAUUGCAUUUUGUAUGAACGUAAUUAUUUAAGUUCAUUUUGAUGUAAUCUGGCUUUGACCUUCUAUUCAAUGAAACUCGAUUUCGAACAAAUAUAUAUAUACACACACAAAAUAGGAGAGCUUCAUUCAUCCUUAGUCCAUGGCUUUUUGGCUGCGUCGAAUUUCAAAAUCUUUAAUUCCCAUACCCAUCAAUCAGGAAACCCGACUGAUCAAUACAGACUCAGCACCAAAAGAUGUUGCCAAAGCCAUCCGUGACUCAUUCAGAAGCAGUUGGAAUUGGGACACUCUGACGACCAAAUUUGAAUCUGUUAAAUUAGAUGGAGGGCUCGUCGAUAGUGUUUUGUUAGAAUUGAAGGAACCCAUUGAUGCAAAACGUGCUCUGGGUUUCUUCCACUGGGCAGCUCACAGGAAAAGCUUUGAGCAUGGGGUUUGGUCCUACUCCAUAACCAUUCAUAUUUUAGCCAGAGCCAGGUUGCUCAUGGAUGCUAGAGCUUUGCUUGAAUCAGUUCUGAAGAAAACUGCUGAAAAUGGUUCCAAAUUUUCAGUUGUGGAUUCAUUGCUUAGUAGUUAUGAGGUUACUGCUUCAAACCCAUUUGUGUUUGAUUUGCUGUUACAGGCUUAUGCUAAGCUGAGAAUGUUUGAGACUGGUUUUGAUGUUUGUUGCUAUUUGGGGGAACAUGGGUUGCCUUUAAGUCUUAUAACUUACAACACUCUGCUUCACGUGGUUCAAAAAUCUGACCAGACUGCUCUGGUUUGGAAGAUUUAUGAGCAUAUGGUUGGAAAAAGAAAUUACCCAAAUGAAGAGACAAUCAAAAUCUUGAUUGAUGCUUUGUGCAAGGAAGGGAAGUUGAAGAAAUGCGUUGACAUGUUGGACAGGAUCCAUGGGAAGAGGUGCUCUCCUUCUGUGAUUGUGAAUACUAGUCUAGUUUUUAGUAUUUUGGAGGGGGGUAGGGUUGAAGAAGGUUUGAUGUUGUUGAGGAGAAUGUUGCAGAAGAAUAUGGUUCUUGAUACAAUUGCUUACUCAUUGAUUGUUUAUGCUAAAGUUAAACUAGGAGAUGUAUGCUCAGCAUGGGAGGUGUACGAAGAAAUGCUCAAGAGAGGUUUUCGAGCAAACUCUUUUGUCUAUACCUUGUUUAUGGGAGCACAUUGUGAGGAAGGAAGAAUGGAGGAAGCACAAGGCAUGAUGAAUGAGAUGGAAAAUAUGGAUUUGAAGCCGUUUGAUGAGAGCUAUAAUCUUCUUAUUGAGGGAUGCGCUAAAGCAGGAAGAGUGGAAGCAAGCUUGAGUUACUUGAAGAAGAUGGUGGAGAGCGGGUUCAUCCCAUGUCGUUCGGCCUUCAAUGAGAUGGUCGGAAAGUUAUGUGAAACAGGGGAUGCAGAGCAAGCAAAUACAAUGUUUACUAUACUGUUAGAUAAAGGGUUCUUGCCGGACAGCACCACAUACGGUCAUCUGAUUGACGGGUAUGGGAGAAAAGGUGAGAUUCAGGAGGUUGUGAAACUCUAUUAUGAGAUGGAGUCCAGGUCGCUUUCUCCAGGAGCAUUGGUUUUUACAUCCGUGAUAAAGAGCUUCUGCCAAUGUGGGAAAGUGGAGGAAGCAGAAAGGUAUUUUGGAAUCAUGAAAGAUCGUUCAAUAGCCCCAAGUUUAUGUGUAUACGAGACAUUGAUUGCCAACCACUUUGACAAGGGCAAUGCAGAAAGGGCCCUUCACCUUAAGAAUGAAAUGGAACUUAGCGCAUCGAUUUAAAUCAAUGAACUCUCAUUUGAAUUGUCUUGUAAUUCACUUUUAAGUGGGUUGGAACGAUCAUGGAAAGAUGAACAGCAACGAGAAGCACUUUGGAACCAAUUGUCUUGUAACUCAUCUGUCAUCACAGCAUGCCCCUCAAAUAUCAAGGCUCCAUUUGGAUGGAGGUAUUUGAAAUAAAGUACUUGAAUUUGACAAUAGGGUAAAUUUGAAUAUAUUUGAAACAAUUAUCUAAAAAAGAAUAUAUUUGAAACAACUAUAUGCACGGAAUCAUUUGAAAUUCAUUUAUUUUAUUCUUCUGAUACAUGGACUGUAAUAGUAUAAAUAAACAAUGUAAACAUAUUGUCAACUGGAUUCAAACAUUUGGAAUCACUUCAUCUGAAUCCCUAAGAUGUAAUGGGAAAUGAGUGUUACAGAGAACUAUGAGAAAAGUUUUGUUCUUGUACAUCACUACUAUAGCUAAACCAACCACUUCUGGAGUCUUGAAGCUCAUUUCCUAUGGUGAAUCCAUAUUUGCCCCUGCGACACAAGUAUGGAAAUGAACAAAAGAUUUUCAGUUUCAUUUCUACAAAUAAAUAAAACAAAAUGAAACUUAUCAUAAAUCUAUUUUUUUAUUUUGGUCGGAAGCUUAUCAUAAAUCUAUUUAAAUAUGAAAACUGAAGACUAAAAAAAAAUUCAAGAAAAACCUUACGAGACAAGGGUGCAAGUGAUGAAAACAACCACGCUGGCAGGGGAGGACAAUCCACCAUUUCCUCAACAAAUUACAUGCAAUCAGUUAGCAAAAUCAUUGAUGAAAAUAAAGAAUAAAGGAUGAUCAACCUACAAUAGAAAAAAUUCAUUCCCCAAAAAUUUGGCCAUGACUAGUACAAGAGCCAGGAAUAAAUGACAUGAGGUACUUAUUAAAAGCCAAAGGUAAAAAGGAAAAAGCAAUGACAACGUCUCAGGAAUUCACAACAGGAUUCUUUUGACUCCUUGAUUUCCUUACAAAGCCAAUCUAACAGAAACACCCAAAAUGAGUGAGAGAUGUGAGUAGUACGAGGCUAGCCAAUAUAUAACAUCAAGGACUUGUAUCUAUGAGCCCAGCUACCACAUCUAACAAGAAGGGUAUGUUUGGAUGUGCUUUUGAUAUAUUGAAAGAAACUUUUAGAUACCUAAAACGGUUAAUCUUCGGCAAAAAUAGAUAAGAAUUCUUUUUGGAGAAACUUUUAGUGCUUCCUGAUCAAGAAACAAUAAUAGGUUCCUUAUCCGAAAGCAUUGUCAAGUGAAUCUGCAAAACCACUUGAGCAUUUGAGGAAACUUUCUAUGUGCCUCUAACAAAAGGUGCUACUGAGCAAAAGUUCUUAAACAUAAGCACUUCAAAACAUUCCCAAAAAUUUGCUGUUUCCUAUUGAGUACCUAGCUCUAGAAGGACAAAAGGAAAGUCAAAUCAUGGAAAAAAAAAUUAGCAGAUAAAUAUUUGGCACGAAAACAUUAUUAUGUUCGGAAAUACUACAGUAUAAUGGUGACAAAAAAACGCAUAACAAAUCCUGCCUAAUAUUUAUACUAUCUUUGAAUAAUUUCCAGGCUGAAACAAACUGACAUGACAAAACUAAAACCACAAAAAUUCAUCUAACAAAACAAUGUAAGCUCAUAUGUGCGGUGAUCGAAGCAACUUCUUCCGACUCCUUUUAGUCAAAGUACAAGCUAAGCAUUUGUAUUCAACACAGGGACCAUCAAACAAUGGUAGAACUAUUAAAACCUUAUUCAGUCAUGCACCAAAAAUACAGCAACAAUUUUUAACAUUCAAGAAAGUCUAGAAAGAGAUUUGAGUGGAUUUACCUUCUUUACCUCUCCUAUCUACAGUUGUCUCAUGCUUAAUAUUCUCAUUCAAUAACGUAAGGUAACGGGUGAAGCAAGGCUCUCCCUGUACAUCCCAGCUCUACCAACUUUGGGAAAUCCAUAAAUUGAAAGAUUCUGACUGCUUCGUAAAAAUUGUGCAUAAUCAACAGGUCAUUGCACAACAACGGGAGUUAGAAAUGCAUGAUUACGAUUUGGAAACUCAUCCACAUUCAAAGAGUAGAGUGAAUUGUGUUCCAAUUUAGAGAAUUGCAUGGUUUAGAUCCACACCUGAAGCGGCAUAACAACAACUGGCAGCCCAUCACCUAUUAUCUCCUUUGGGAAGUUAGGGUUUCCAUCAGCUGCUCCCUCAUUUUUUUCCAGCCACAUUUCCUCGGGAACAACUAGAAAGUGUGGCCUGCGUGUCUUAACAAAAUGUAAGUUGUGUGUUAAUGCUGAGUCAGACUCCGGGCAGAACUCGUCAGGACUUGACUUGCAGUUGUUUUUGGAGCUGGGCCAGUCAAACUUGGGCCUUCAGGUAUGACACUUGAUAAUCCAAUUGCCCUUGCAAAUAAAAACAAUUUCCGUUAUUGUGGACUCCAAAACGAUAUGCCUAGAAGAAAAAAAAAAAUUAUGGCACAUUUAUGUUUUUUGAAAUGGGGAAAGUAAUGAAUCAGGGAAAUCAUGAAUAGGCGAGAAGGAAUGGGCGUGAGAUCAACUAUUUCCCCUUAUCAGAAGGCAUUAGCAAAUACAAGGGAAGUCAGGAAUCGGAAUAAUUUCAAUACUCAUUAACAAGUAAACAUACCAUGCAAAUCAAACUUCUAGAAAGAGUAAAGCAUCCCAAAAGAAAGGGAAAGAAAUAAAAGAAAUUCUCGACUUAGAUAGUAAUUUUCAUCCGAGUACUAUUUUAGUCCCUUUACUUAUUCACCACCAAAUGAUGUGAAAGUAUUUCGUUUAUUCAAAUACGAGGCCACUUUAAAUGUAAUUUAUUCUGAAUAAGUAGGUGUAGCCGAGAGAUUGUUACACCAUUCCAAGAAUACUUUCAUAGCGUGUGUAAGACAGACUCUGUAUAAUUAGCCCUAUUCAAGGCUAGCAAAAAUUUCGGUUCUUACGGGAUUCAGUUCAAUACCAAUGCUUUAUUUAAGCACCAGCAAUUUUACAAAAUUGCAAAGGGGAGGCCUAAUGCCUUAUUUGAACUCACGGGUUGGGGGUGGGCUAAUUCUCUCAACAGUUAUGCUAACUUAAAAUUUAAACAAGCAUCGUAAUCAAGGAUACUGCAGCAAUUAACAUCCUAUAAACUUUCAUUUGAAUUGUCUAGCAAUUUCUUUAAGGAUGUUAAAGCAGAUGAAGAAAACAUCAACAUAACCUAGGAGUGCUUUGGAACCAAUUGAUUUGCCAUCAUUCCAAAAUGAAACUGAUCUAUCAACGAAGAUUUCACAAAGGACACCUAACACAUUGUUCAAAACAUAAAGAUGCAACGGGAAGAGACAGACAGAACCGCUGGAAAAUCUUUGUACCGGUACAUCCUACGAUAGCCAGCCAAACCAACCAAUUUUUGGGUCUUCAAGAUAAUUUCUUCUAGAACCAGAAAAGGAACCUAAUGUCUUCUGGAGAAAACAGAUCUGCCCCUGUGACACAAGGAUGGCAUUACGUAAAGAUUUCAAGCAGCCAUUUCUAUAAAAUGAAAAAAAUUCAUAAAAUACCAGUAUUCAUAUCUUUACAAAGUUCAUAACUGAAUCAUAAAUGCAUUUAAUUUGUAAACCGAAGACAAACAAUAAAAGCAUGGAAAACUUAUGAGAAGGGGCCACAUAUGACAGAAACAACGGGGAAAAAGGGGGCAACAAGCCACAAUUUCUUUGAAAAAUAACAUUCAAUCAGUUAGCAAAAUCAUUAAUGAAAACCAAGCAUAAGAGAAAAUUAUCACUGUAACAAUGUUGGAAAGUCAACCCCAGUAAAUAUGACUCAUAGAAGAACCAGGAAUAAUCAAUCACAUUAGCCACUUAUUAAAAGCCAACAGAAUAAAAGGAAAUGGAAACAUAUUAGGAACUCAGAACCAAGCUCUCUUGACUCCUUGAUUUUCUUACAAAACCAAUCUAACAAACAGAAGCAUCCAAAAGCAGUGAUAUACUAGUUCUAUAGACUCAUUAAUCAUAUAAUUCAUCGACUUGUAUCUACACACCCAACUACCGUGUCUAACAAGGAGGAUGUAUUUGGAAGUGCUUUAAAUGUGUCAAAAAUAAUUUAGAUAACCAAUCUGCCUUUAUUAACAAUUGGAAGAAAUAGACAGAAUGCUAUUUCAGUUAGAGAAACAAUUUCUGUGCUACAUGAAGAAGCACCUAACAGGUGCUUUCUUCAAAAGCGUUAAUGAGGACGAAACAAUGCCUACGAAAUCCUACCUGUCCUAUGGUCUCGCUAAAUCCAAUUAAAACGAACAUGCACGCUGCUCUGAAUCAUUCCAUGGGUGAAGGAGACACAUAGGAUAAAACUAUACUGCGAAUGCAGCACACAAAUUCUUGUUAUUAAAAACAAAACAAAAAGAGGAAAAAAAAAAUAGACUCUGAUAUUAAGAAAGCUUAAGCUCGGCAUCUUAAACAAGCACCAUCAACCAAAAACUACUAUAAAUAAAAAAACUUGUGUCCAACAAGCGUGUACUGCUUUCAGUUGUGCCAAAAGUGCUUUAAAUAUAUAUGUAAAAAAGUAAUACUUGGAAAAAAUUAGACAACAAUGCAUUUUCAGUUGGAAAAACAAUUUCAGUGCUUCAUGAAGAAGCACAUAAUAGGAUUCUUCAAAAGCAUUUUCAGGUCAAUAUGCAAAACAUAAUUGAGUUUCAAAUGAAAUCGUUUGUCUUUUAGUGAACACGGUACUAGAUGCUCCAUAUAGAAGUACUUCAAAACAGGCACAAGCGUUUUCUGUCUCCUGAUGAGUAUCUAGCAAAGCACUACUCCACAAUGGCAAAAGGAAAGUAAAAGCACGGGAAUGUUAAGCAGAGAAAUAUUUGACAUGAAAGAUUAUAACAUUCAUGAAUCAUGACAUACAACAUAGGAACAAUGCCGAAAAAUGCAUACUUCUGCCCGUCCUAUGGUUUUGUUAACUACCCAAUAAAGUGAACGUGCAUAGUGUUCUGAAUCAUUCCAUGGGAGAAAGAGUAAGAUAGGACAAAACUACAACACAAAUGCACCACCAAAACCCUAGUUAAUAAAGAAAAAACAAGUAUAAUUUUUUUCUUCAUAAUAUCAGUUUGGUUUCCUAGUAUGGCUGCCAUUCCAUUGAUAGAAAAAGAAAAAAGAAAAACAUAUAGGCUCCAAUAUUAAGAAAGCCGAAGCUUGGCAUAUUAGAAACAAUCACCAUCAGCCAAUAAAACUAUAAAAACCUCAUGUCUGACAAAAAGGGUGUAUUUUCCAGUGCUGUUAUUGUGUCAAAACUGCUUUGAGAUAACCAAACACAGUUUUUUAAAAAAAAAUUGCCAGAAACAGACAACCAUGCUUUUUCAGUUAGAGAAACAAUUUCAAUGUUUAGUGAAGAAGCAUGUAAAGGUGCAGUCUUCAGAAGCACGCAUAGGUAGUCUUUACAAGCAUUGUCAGGUGAAUAGUUCCAAGGAAAUAUUUUAUGUGCUUUUAGCAAAAACAGUACUAAAAGCUCGAUAUAGAAGUACUUCAAAACAAGCCAGAGCUUUUAGCAGAGAACUACUGUACGAAGGCAAAAGGAAAGUAAAAGUAUGAAAACAUUUAGCAGAGAAAUAUUUGACACGAAACACUGGCACAUUCAUGACAUACAAUACAACACUAGGAAUGAUGAUGAAUUACACAUGAAAUCCUGCCUGUCCUAUGGUUUUGUUAAACACCAAAUAAAAUGAACAUGUAUACUGUUUCGGAUCAUCACAUGGGUGAAAGAGACGGAUAGGAUAAAACUAUAAUGCAAAUGCAGCACAGAAAUCCUUGUUAAAUUUUUUUUUUUAAGUAUAAUUGUUUUCUGAGCAUGCCUGCCAUUCCUUCCACAGGAGAAAAAAAAAAAAAAAAAACAUGCAAACUCUGAUAUUAAGAAAGCCUAAGCGUGGCAUAUCAAAAACAAGCACCAUGAACCAAUAAAACUAUCAAAAACUCGUCUCCAACAAGAAGCGUGUACUUUAAAGUGCUUUUAAGUGUCAAAACUGCUUUUAGAUAAACAAAGAUGUUUGUUUUUUUUUUUAGUAAUUGGAAGAAAUCGACAACAUUGCUUUUUUUGGUUAGAGAAACAAUUUCAGUGCUUCAUGAAGGAACACCUAACAUGUGCAUUCUUUAAAAGAAUUGUCAGAUCAAUGCCAAACAUAUGUGAAUUUGUAAUGAAAUCGUUACGUGCUAUUAGCAAACAAAUAACUAGAUGCUCCAUAGAGAAGUACUUCAAAACAGGGCCAAGCUUUUGCUAUCGUCUAAUGAGUAUCUAGCAAAGAACUACUGUACACAGGAAAAUGCAAAGUAAAAGUACGAAAACAUUGAGCAGAGACAUAUUUGACACGAAAACUGUUACAUUCAGGACAUACAACAACACUAGGACUGACGAUGAAAAGCACAUACAAAAUCCUGGAUGUCCUAUGGUUUUGUUAACUACCAAAUAGAUUGAACAUGUAUACUAUUCUGAAUCAUUCCAUGGGUAGAAGAGAGAUAGGAUAACACCAUAAUGCAAAUGCAGUACCAAAAAUCAUUGUUAACAAAAGCAAAAAAAAAGGUAUAAAAUGUAUUUGGUUUCUUAAUAUCAGUUUGUUUCUGAGCAUGACUGCCAUUCCAAUCAUUGAAAAAUAGAGAAUAAAUACAUGAACACUCUACUAUUAAGAAAGCCUAAGCUCAGCAUAUUAAAAAUAAACACCAUCAACCAAUAAAACCAUAAAAACCUUGUUCAAUAGUGCAUAAACAAUACCGGAAAGAAAUUCAAACAAACAAUAAAGUCUAGAAAGAGAUUGAGUGGAUUCAUCUACUUUACCUCUUCUAUCUGCAUUUGCCUUAUGCUUAAAGUUCUCGAUCAGUAAUGCCAUAGUAAUUCGGUGAAACAAGACUCUCCAAGUAGGUUCCUAUGCAAUCAACAUGGGGAAAUCCAGGGAUUGAUAGAUUGCAAAAGCCUUGUUCCUUAAAAUUGUACAUAACCAAUUGCUUCUGGAACACCAACAGAUCAUGAUUUUCCUUCCAAAAACCUGACAGUGAUAAUUCGGAAUAAGGGAUGGAGAUCUUUAUCUUAGUCCACGACUGCCCCUCUCCAUAUUCAUUCAUGACCCAAAACUCAUUAUAAGUUCUUUCAUCACUACAAUGUGUUAAACAUAGGCAGUCCCUGAAGACCCCCAACACACAAUCUCCCGCAUCACUGGAAUACUCAACCGGCAAAGGAAUUUCUCCAGCUUGCUCCUCUUCUAAAAGGAAAGCUACAAUCAUGGAUGUCUGGUCUGGUGUUUCCAUUAUCCAAUGAAGAGUUCCAUUGAGCAGGACAGCAUGAAAGGUAUAUGCCCCAGAAUAGGGAAGUGAACACUCAAGCUCUUCCCAUGAACCGGUUUUCAACGAAUAGACACAAAACACAAGCAUAUCGUAAAACACAGCAGAAACCACCUUGUAAUCAUCAGUGGAGUGAUCAAAUCCAAAACCCAGGUGUUGUAUAUUAUCUGGUGCCUCUGGCAGUUCCUCGGAUUCCCCGGUAGUUGGGUUAACCAGAUAUAUCGUCAUUGGCAUUUCAGCUAGCUUGCACAACAACAAACCAUCACAGUAAAACAGGUCUACAACCCUGUAAGAUGGUAGGUCACCGCAAACCAAUUGGGCCUCAGGGGCAAUCAAAUCAUCAGCACCAUGAUCAUUAUUCUGAUUCAGAAUUAACUGGUCGAGGUUAACAGAGUAAAGGGAACAACAACCUGGCUCAUUGAAGAUGAGUCUUCGUCUUUGGUAGAACACAUCAUCGUUCUCAGAAGUUUUGUUAAAGUGCAUUUUGAUAAAAUUAGGGUCAGCGAUGAGAGCAUUCCAUGGCUUAGAUACACACCUGAAGCGGCCCAACGACUUGACCGGCAGCCAUGAAAGAAUCUCCACUAUCAGCUCCCAUGGGAGGCUAGGGUUCCCUUUGUCCAUCAGCUGCUCCGCCAUUUUCUUGCGCAGCUUCGUUCUCUCCGGAGCAGACCAAGCGUUCCCCAUGGCCAAAAGCAGUGUUCCCUUCUUUUUCGCUGGAGAAAACCAAGCGCUCCCCCAAAACCAUCCUCUAUGACAUAAAUCUUCUUCCCCAAAAGUAAAGUAGUCUAAUUUGACGCUGGGUGGACCAAAUUUUGAGCGGCCUCUUCAAUUGCGUUGGACUCGGUUGUAGACUCGUGACUUUCAAAUUGGGCUUCCAGUUGGGCCAAAUUUGGGCCUACGUUUAUUUCUGUUGAAAGACGUGGAAACGGAUGCACUGUCCCGGUCAAUUAACCUAAUUCACAUCUGCAAGGUGUUUUUUUUAACUGAUUUAAAAAUUCUAGUAGGUUUUUCAGUUAGAUGUGAAAAACAUGUAUUCUCUAUACUCCCUUCAUAAAAGAAGAUGGUGUGUUUCGUUUUGUUUCUACUUUAGUCGUGUUACAUUUAUACAUGUAAUGAAAAAGAAAAUACAUCCAAAAAAUAUAGUAUAUAAAUGUGUUUCCUAACAUUACUCUCUAUUUGAUGAAACACACGGGAUUGAUUAAAAAAAACAAAAUUUUAUUGAAAGGAAACAAAAUUAAUUUCCUUUAUGGUGCGUUUGGAUGAGGAAAAUAAACUUGGGAUUUUGACAAAACUCAGAAUUUCUAAAUUGACAUGAACCAAUUCCGGUGUUUGGAUAAAGAAACAUAGAAAUUUAGAAAAUCCCCGUGGAAAAAAAACAUGGAAUUUGGAGAUCAUAAAUCCCAAGUUUAAAUUCUAUCUAAAAGUCGUUAUUUCUAAAAUCCCAAGAGAGAUUGAGUUUAAAAAAAAGAUAACUUUACAAAUAAAUGUUAAAUUCCGUGUUUUAAAUCAGUCACCCAAACAAGAAACUUUACAAAUUUUAAAACAUCAAUUUCCGUCAUUUAUGAAAUCCUUUGUACUUUUAAAUUUCCUCAUCCAAACACAUUGUUACGGUGCAUUUGGAUGAGAGAAAUAAACUUAGGAUUUUGACAAAACUCGGAAUUUCUAAAUUGACAUGAACCAAUUCGGAUAAAAAAAAACAUAGAAAUUUAGAAAUUCCGCGUGGAAAAAAACAUGGAAUUUGGAGAUCAUAAAUCUCAACUUUAAAUUUUAUUUAAAAGUCGUCAUUUCUAAAAUUCCGAAGAGAGAUUGAGUUUUUAAAAAAGAUAACUUUACAAAUAAAGGUUAAAUUCCGUGUUUUAAAUCCAUCACCCAAAUAAGAAACUUUACAAAUUCUAGGACAUUAAUUUCCGUCAUUUAUGAAAUCCUUUGUACUUUUAAAUUUCCUCAUCUAAACGCACUGUUAUAGAUUGUUAUUUCCCAAUUAUUAACGAAAAUGUUGUGCCAAGUGCAGGUCCCAAAAAGAAAAAAAGUUAUAUGAAAAGUUGACUAUAAAAACAAAAUACAAUGACACUUUCUGAAAGAACUUAACUCAAGAAAAGAAAAAAAAAACAAAAAUAUGAGAUUGUUUUUGUGAUGAUCCCACACAGAAGCCCACGGUGCACCAAAAUUGGUGUUUGGAACAACCAUGCCUUGUAUCUAUAAAUGGCUAAAAAGGCACUUGUCAAGGUAUAAUACCAUUCAAGAUCAUCUACAAAGUACUAAAAACCUCAUGCCAAUAAGACUUCUUUUAAGACAUUAGAAAGAUGACCAGAGGUUUUGAGGACAAACACAAAUCGGCUUUUGUUUUCUGUAAAGGAUCAAAGCGCGAUAUUGUUUAUGACUUCGUGCCUAAGCUGUGACAAAAUGUAUAUAUAAAAUCUCUCUUGAAUGGCUCAUGGUUUCUUUUUACUGCAGAAAGAGGAACAAAUGUUGGCGGUGUCUCUUAUAACGUACGUCUGUAGUUUUGGAAUGUCUUUUUUUUUCCUUAUGGAAAUGGCUGGGAGAAGAAAGAGUUUGAAUGCAUUUUCAGAGCAUUCAAGUCAAAUUUGCAUUCCCUUAUGGUUGUAUGUGAUCGUAUCUGCGUUAUUGUGCAUGCAUAUGAAGCCUAGUGAUCAUCCUUCUAUGGAAAAAGUCAUGGAUAUGCUUGAAGGAGCAAUUGAAGCCCUAAAAAUGCCUAGCAAGUCACAUGCCAAUAUGCAGAUUACGGUGCAAGGUCUGCCAUGGUUCCAAGAAUUCAGCCUCCUCCCAGAUUUGGUAUAUGAGCAGGACCAAAGUUGCAAAUUUAAUUGCUUGAAAUGAUUCGAAGUUCUGUCCUAAUUCUUGUUCACUUGUAUUACUCUGCAGCAGCAACUGAGGGGCUAGUUUGAUCUAAUAUGGUUUUCCCUAAUUUUGGAAUUGUAGCAUGUAGAUUGGUAUUAUUGGGUUAGUGAUACAGUUGGUCCAUUAUUUUUCCAUUAGUUUUCCAUUAAUGGUGUGUUGCUUAAAUCCUGGUUUUCAAGUUUACAUUGGAGGUUUUUUUGCCCCAGUUUCUUUCAAGUUUACAUUGAACUUGGAUGUGACUAGAAAUUUAUACUCAUCUAUAUACUAAAAGCUUAAAAGGUUAUUUGAUGAAUGAAGUUAAAAUGAUGACAUAAGAUGUUUAAGUCAUUUGUGCAGUAAAAGCAGUUAUUGGACUCCAUCUGAAUGAAAUUAUUGUUAGUAAUUAUGAGACAAAACCACAGAUAUUUGAUCCAGAAAGUAGAUAAAAUCCGUUUGUAUUUCUAGCUACAAAUACAAGAAGAAAAGACAGAAAAAAAGAAAAAACACAAUCAAACCAAAUCAUAUGUUAUUCUGUCAACCAGCUCAAAAUUCAUCUACGAUUUUUCUCUCUAAAGCAAAACUGGAACAAACACGAAAAAUACAGGAAACAAAACGAUCCUAACUGUAUAAGUCAUCUCCAUCAGCCCCAGCAGACGCAGUUGCAGAAGGGUCAUAUCCAGCAGCUCUGUCUGCAAACCUGAAUUCUGUUCCCAACCCUCUUGACUGCUGCAAUGUCUGAGAAAAUGUCUGGUAUUUACGGAUAUCAGCAUCACUAACACUCCUACGAGCAUACUUCAUGGAUUCCUCGAAAUGAGCUGCCAUGAUCUCUGCUACUUCAUCAUCAACAUCCUCCUCCAUAGCCUCAGGGUUCUCAUUUUUCCUCCUAUCCCUCACAAUAUCCUUCUCAAUGUUUUCUCUAAUGGCAUAUUUGCACGCACGCUGGCAUAUUUCUGUUAUAUCAGCACCACUAAAUCCUAGGGUGUACUUGGCAAGGGCUCUAAUGUCCACAUCUUUGGAAACAGGAGAUUUCCUCAAGCAAGACCUGAAUAUUUGAUGGCGAGAUUCUUCGUCAGGGAGAGGGAUGUAAAUCAACUGAUCCAGACGGCCUGGACGUAGAAGUGCAGGGUCUAUAAUGUCAGGUCUGUUGGUGGCCCCAAUGACGAAAACAGUUUUCUUUGCAGACAUUCCAUCCAUUUCCGUAAGGAGUUGGUUCAGUACCCUAUCAGCAGCACCCCCAGCAUCGCCUACGCUGCUACCUCUCUGUGUAGCAAUGGAAUCAAGUUCAUCAAAGAACAGGACACAUGGAGCAGAUCCACGGGCCUUGUCGAAAAUUUCACGUACAUUGGCCUCACUCUCUCCAAACCACAUUGUAAGCAAUUCAGGUCCCUUGACACUGAUGAAGUUUGCUUGACACUCAUUGGCAAUAGCUUUGGCGAGAAGAGUUUUACCACAUCCAGGAGGGCCAUAGAAAAGAACUCCCUUUGAGGGUGACAUUCCAAAUUUCUCAAAUUUCUCAGGAUGCUCCACUGGAUAUUGAACCGUCUCUUGAAGUUCCCUCUUGACAUUCUCGAGACCUCCGAUAUCUUUCCAACUAACAUUCGGCACCUCAACAACUGUUUCACGAAGAGCGGAUGGGUUGCUCGUGCCAAGAGCCGUCUGCAAGUGCUCGUUUGUAACUGCCAUUGAAUUAAGUAUCUCGGCAUCUAUUUCCUCAUCUUCUAAGUCAAUCACGUCCAUCUUCUCUCUGAUGCAUUGAAGUGCAGCCUCAGUACACAAAGCAGCUAGAUCAGCACCAACAUAACCAUGUGUGUCCUUAGCUAUCUUUUCUAAAUUAACUUCUUCAGCAAGCUUCAUGUUCCUGGUAUGAAUACGCAGAACCUCAAGACGCCCAACUUCAUCUGGCACACCAAUAUCUAUUUCCCUAUCAAAUCUUCCAAACCUUCUGAGAGCUGGAUCAAUGCUAUUUGGACGAUUUGUAGCCCCGAUAACAAUUACAUGCGCACGGGAUUUUAGUCCAUCCAUGAGUGUCAAGAGUUGGGAAACAAUCCUCCUCUCAACUUCUCCAUUUGUCUUGUCUCUCUUGGGAGCAAUUGAAUCGAUCUCAUCAAUAAAGAUGAUUGAUGGUGCGUUCUUCUCUGCUUCCUGAAAAGCUUUCCUGAGGUUGCUUUCACUCUCCCCAGCCAGUUUCGACAUGAUUUCUGGUCCAUUGAUGCAGAAAAAGAAUGCCCCAGUCUCAUUAGCCACAGCACGGGCAAUUAGAGUCUUACCAGUUCCAGGAGGUCCAUACAACAGAAUACCCUUUGGUGGUUUCACACCAAUUAUCUUAAACAGCUGAGGAUGCCUCAGCGGCAGCUCCACCGACUCGCGAAUUUGAGCCAUCUGUUUCCUUACUCCACCAACAUCAUCAUAUCCAACCUCAUCUAAUGACCUCUCCUCAUCCUCCCUUCUCACAGGCUCCCCGUCACAGAAGAUUUCGGUGUCGGGAGCCACCACGCAGUACUCAGGAGGGUCAGUUUCGACAACCUUGAACUCCACACUCCUCAUCCCUCCUCUCACAAGGAAGAGAUCACCCGUCCUCACGGGUCGGUAGGCCUCGAAAAAAUAAGGUCUCAAAUAUGUAUCAAACAGAUUUCCAGUCACCCCUUGGAUACUGUCAUCCACAGGGAGUACGUGAACACGGUUUCCAUACUUGACAUCAGCGCAUUGGUAAACAGAAACGACAUCUCCAAGCCUAACCCGUAGGUUGCUCCUGACAACCUUGUUCAUCCUUAUCUUUGGUUCCUCACAUUUGUCAUCAGCAACUACAAUGCAGACUGUGUCCUUCCUUUUCUUUCCCUUGAUCAAGAUUGUGUCCCCACGAAAUAGCUGGAGCCUCUCCAUAGACUCUGGGUGGAGCGUGACGACAGAGUUGUCGCCAUGGAUAUCUUCAUCCACAACAAGGCGAUUCACAGCCUUCUUGCGGUCAAGGAUUGCCGUAGUGAAGUCCUUCUUUGAACCCCCAGUGUCCGAAGAUUGAUCAGCUUUGUUGGUCAUCGUAACGAAGAAGCAGAAGAUCGAAGAAGACGAAGCGAGAGAGUUUGAGGGUUUUUGAAGCGAGAUCGAAGAAUGCAAAUAAAGAAGCAGAGAUAAAACAGAGAGAGCAGAGUAGCUAAAAGCAAUGUGGUGGGUUGUGUUGUGUUGUGAACUUGUCUAUUUAUGGGCGAGGGAAACUUUUUCUUGUUAGGAAAGGUUUCCUAGUGUUUCUGUAAACAUUUUGCACUUUUUACAAGAAAAUUUUCCUACUUGAAUUUAAUUUCCGUGUUCAAUAAGAACACAGACCAGUGUCCUAAUUGAAUUAAUUUCCGCAACCCAUAAGGAGGCGCACCUUCAUGUCCAUCCCAAAGAUUCCUAAUUGCAAUAGGUCUACAUAUUGAGUCCCUGUAGUUUGCUUUGUUUUACAUUUAAAAAGCUCUUAUAAUUUUAAUUUUCUCUAUCAAAAUUUUGUACUUUACUUCAAUUAAUACUACCCUCUAUGUCCGGUAUUUUUAUUUUUUUUAAUGUUUUCAAUUGUAACUAUCAAGAAAUGUUUUCUUUGGCCAACGACAUCUAGGCCAAUAAAAAGGAGUUUGAUUUAUAGACCAAUGGUCUCUGGUUCAAAUCCUCAUAGAAAAAUCAAGAAACUUUGAUUUUAUAUAUAAACACUAAAAGCUAUAAAUUGAAGGGAAAACCCCAAAAUUGACAUGAUAUGUGAAAUAUCAUUAUUAUCUUUGCAUUAUGAUUUUUAGAAGAAAGAAAACUUUGAUGGUAGUGUUGUAAUUUUAGAUUUUUCAAGGCUUGUAUAGCAUAUUUGGUCUAUUUGAACAGUCAAAAUGGGCUUUCUUUUUAAGGUAGUGUAUGGUUUUGUCCCCAAAAAAAAAAAUUGUAUGGCUUUUCUAUAUUCUAGGCCCUACUUAUGGGCUUACAUGUGAAAAGCCCUUAUUAUUUCAUGUGCUUAGAGCCCAAGCCAUGUCAGGAAGAGAAUUACAAGAGCUUUUAUAACGAGGAGUUUAAAAUGAGGAGCUUAUUUGAAGGUUCCAAUCCCACCAUCAAACCAUUUAAAAUGUUUAAGUCCAUUGAUUUUCUCACAUUUGUUGAUAAUGAGAUUGAACCUCUCAAAUAAGCUCCCCAUUCGAAACUCUUUAUUAUAGCAUUUUCGGAAAAUAACGCAUUAGUUUUCAGUUCAGUUGCAGCCAUCUCAACUGGUACUACGAACUGAGUACAGCAAAAUGAAUUUCACAGAACCUUUAUCAUCAAACUUUAUAACACACAUAGAUUAACUUUAAUGAAGCUUUUAAAGAAAGAGAAAGCAAAUAAGCAGCAAAUGGUGUUCGCCUGACAACAAGAACAAAAAUAGUUCAGAAAAGAAUUGCACGUCAAAGUUCAAUUUGUAGAAGAUCAAAAUGCUGGCUCACCAGUUUCUUCAUUAUUUUUCUCAAAUCUUAUCUGAAAAUUGCAUGCUGCAAUAUGCCCUACUAAUUUAAUUAUUUUGAGACAUAACCUAUUUAACAGUUGCUGAACUUUUCCCCAUGAGUCAAAUUCUAGAAACCCAAACGUUAUAUUUGGUAGCCAAUAUAAUGUUUCUUUUCUAUUUGCUUAUAUAGAAAAUAUAAAUUAAAUGCAAAGUUUGAGACAUUUUCCAACAAAGCAGUACUUGUUUUAUUUCUUUUGAAUUCUUUAGGAUCACCUUUAAAAUGAAUGAUUUCGAUAAUCAUACGAUAUUAUAGAAGAAUAAAAGAAAGAUGGAGAAAGUAGGAGAAGAAAGUACAAAUUUAUGAUAGCAGCUAGGAUUCCCCUAAUUAAGAAAAACACGAGUUUUGAACUUACAUGAGAUUGUUUAUUGCAGAUUGGGUUAUAUCAGUUAGUUAAGGCAAUGUACUUGAUUGGUUGGUCAAUGACUAGUACUGAAAUAAAACAUAAUUCGGAUGGUUCUAAAAUUUUAUAAAAAUCAAUGACUUUGAUGGUAAAAAACAGAAUAAAGAAAGAUUCAAAAUCAUUGAUCAUGACCAAAAUCUUUAAUUUUGAUUAUGAAAAACAAAACAAAAAUAUGAUUUCUGAAUUGAAAUAAGAAAGUCUUCUGAUAAGUACCUAAACUAAAACAUAUUCCAUAUGAAAAAUGACAAAAAUACAAUUCAUUUGAUGUUGAAUGACAUAAUAUAAUUUGACCACAAAAAGGAAGAAGACAUAAUAUAAAUAACAUGUGCACCACGACAGGGGUAUCCCUGUACGAAAAAUCCUCUACCUUUUAAUCUGUACAGUAUCAAUGAGAUUAUUUACAUUCACGUUUUCUACGAAAUUUUUUCUUUUUAAUUUUUACAUAACACUUGAAAUUUUUUAAAAUUACAUGAAUACACUUUUUGUAGCUCUAAAUAUUCUGCAAAUAACUCAAUAAAUUUGCGGAUAUAAAUUUAACCAACUUAACUGGAACGAAUGUAUUUCUCAAUAUCCAAAGAAUAUCGUUCAUAUAAAAAAAAUCAAUAAAUCUGAAACACAACUAUCGAAUGCUAUAUUAUAUUAGUAAAACAAAUCUGACCAAACAUUCAAAAUUUGACCAAUGGAAACUGUGACGUUUUGGCUCAUCCUCAUCGUAGCACGUUUUGCCUUUUGGCUUGGAAUCUAAUACUUGGUUGACCCAAAAAAAUGAUGAGACUUGCAUCUGAACGUAGCUCCAAAUUUCCAGACACACUAUUCAUCAACCAAAUCGAAAGUCGGACGAAAAUAAUAAAGACAAACCCAACAAGGCUACUUAGAGCAUUUCCACCCCAAUAAUAUGUUAGGGUUUGGUUGUUUUUGUUUUGACGAAAUAGUAGAAAUUCAUUUGAAGAACAGGACACAAACUCAGGAUACAACAGUAAGAAUAUAGCUCCGGAAGGAUGUUCUUGCAAGGGUUUGGUUGUUUUGUAUCAUGAUUGAGUCUGAAAAGUGGAGUGGUAAAAAUAAGAAAAAAUUAACUCAAUCCAGGUAAAUUGGGAAACUACAAGUAACUCAAUAGAAAUAUCCUCUUAAGCUGGUUGUUUUCAAACCACAAAGAAACAAGAGAGACCAAGAAACAUACAUAAAAGCCAAAGUCAACAUCUCUCUUUCUCUUCACCUAUCAAUGAACACCAAAUGUCUUCCACAAUAAAAAACAUAAACCCAAUGACCAAAUCCCAUCCUCAUAUGCUUUCUUCACCAACAGAAACCGCCUCAUUUUGUGAAACAAUGAGAGCUUCAACAAAGCACCAAUUCUGCUCCUCCAUUCUCUGCCUCACUUUACUCACUUUCUUCCCACUUGCCACCUCCAAAGACACUUUGUCUUCCGCCCAAUCCCUCCAAAACAACCAAACCCUUGUCUCCUCCGGCGGUGUCUUUGAGUUGGGCUUGUUCAAGCCCGGCGCAACUUCAGGUUGGUACUUGGGAAUCUGGUACAAAAAUAUCCAAGAAAAAACAGUUGUUUGGGUAGCAAACAGAGACAAACCAAUUUCAAAUUCAUCCUCAGCAACACUCAAAAUUGGUGACCAUGGCAACCUUGUCCUUCUUGAUGGUGAAAAUGGAACAUGGUCCUCCAAUGAAACCCAAGCCAGGAACCCAAUUGUUCAGCUUUUAGAUUCCGGCAAUCUGGUCCUCAGAGAUGGGAAUUUAAACCGAAACGGCCCGAAAGACCAGUUCCUCUGGCAGAGCUUUGAUUACCCAACAGACACUCUUCUGCCAGAUAUGAAGUUGGGGUGGAACUUAAGCUCAAACUUGGACAGGUACAUAACCUCAUGGAAAAGCACAGAAGACCCAUCAACAGGUGACAUUUCUUUCAAGCUCGACUACCGCGGUUUCCCGGAGAUUUUCCUGAGAAAGAAUCAGAAUAUAACGUACCGCAGCGGCCCCUGGAACGGGGAGAGGUUCAGCGGUGUGCCGGAGAUGACACCUUCAGACGGUAUCCAAUUCAAUUUCGUGGCCAAUUCAGAAGAGGUCUACUACUCUUUUUCGGUACGUAGCAAUUCAGAGUCGUUUUAUUCCCGAUUGAUUGUGAACCCAAAUGGGGAGCUUCAACGCCUGACGUGGAUCGAAAGCAGAAACAUUUGGAACAAAUUUUGGUACGCCCCAAAAGACCAAUGCGACGAUUACAGCGAGUGUGGUCCGUACGGCAUUUGUGACUCAAAUGCUUCUCCGGUUUGCAAGUGCUUGAAGGGUUUUGAGCCCAAGAACUUGCAGACGUGGGAUUUGAGGGAUGGGUCUGAUGGGUGCGUGAGGAAAACGCGUUUGGAGUGUUCGAAGGACAAGUUUUUGGCUCUGGGGAACAUGAAGCUGGCGGAGAGCGGCGGCGCUUUUGUGGACAUGAACAUGAGCCUGGAGGCGUGUAAGAAAAAGUGUUUGGAGAAUUGUAGUUGCACGGCGUAUUCCGACGCACGGAUAUCAGUAGGAGAAGGCUCAGGCUGUGUCAUGUGGACUGGGGACCUUUUGGACAUGAGGCAAUAUGCAGAAGGUGGACAACAUUUCUAUGUGAGAUUGGCCGCUUCUGAACUAGGUACCUUUUGUUAUAAAACAAGAGAGAAAAUGGAGAGAAUUGAGAUAGAGAGAAAACUGAUCUGGGAAAUUGGAGAGAGUCUUUUGCUCUCGCUUCUCUGUAUUAUUUCUCAUACGUUUCUGUCUUCAUAUAUUACAAUAAUUAGAAUGUGGGCUCCACACCCAAUAAUACACUCAAUAAUUUACAACACUCCCCCUUGGAGACCACAAAUGAUAUGGAAUAUGUCUCGUUAAAAACCUUGCCAGUAAAAACCCAGUGGGACAAAAACUGGUCGAAGGGAAAAAGAGUACAUAACCAUGCGUAACAUAAAAUUCUGUGUAUAUGGACAUGUGUGCGAUACUGCCUCAUUAAAACCUUGCCAGGAAAAACCCAGUGGGAUAAAAACCUGGACGAAGGAAAAAGAGUACAGUGUGUAAAGGUCUGUAUUGACAGCACGCUCCCCCUGAUGCUUGGCAAAAUAUCUUGAAGUCAUACUGUUGAUCAUCUUUCUGAAUAUCAUAGUUGACACUGCUUCUGUGAGUCAAUCUUGAGCGACACUGCCUCGUUAAAACCUUACCAGGAAAAACCCAGUGGGAUAAAAACCUGGAUGAAGGAAAAAGAGUACAGUGUGGAGCUGAGCUCUAUCUGGUCUAGUAUACUUCCGGAAAAACAUAUAAGGACCAACGGAUAAGACUCAUAAAAAUGCUUCAAUACUUUCUUAGUAUAAGCAAGAAUCUCGUUGGCAUAAUGCUCGAUCGAGACAAAUAUUUCGUGACUUCUGCAGAAGUUUUAAUGUGUUGCAAACACAUUAUAAUCAAUGUACUCACUGAGGUAAUUUAUGCAUAUUAAUAUUGAGUACAAAUUUUGUGCUUUAAGCACAUGUCCUGUAGGGACUUGCUUUAUGCAACGUCAAUCCUCUCAACGGAUUUUGUUUAAAAGGGAUUAAAUUUUAUGACACAUGAUAUAGCUUUAACCCAGCUAUUUAUACAUCUUUAGGGAAUCACUUCAGGUGAUAUGCUCUGUGCAUUUAAUAACCCUUAAAGAUAACAUGUUGGUCUCCGUAAUUGUGCAGUAAGGGGGGAGGCACAAUUGAAUCUGUAAAUAUGGAAAAAACCCAACAUUCCUUGUUUCUGCCAGAAACAUUGUGUCAUACAAAGUAGGUAUAUUCCCUUUUAUUCCGAACACCCAAGUAUAAAUUUCAAUAUUAACAUCUUUUGGGGUUCGUAUUGUGGGUUUGUGUUUUUUUUUUUUUUCACGUUCAUUCGCAUCUAUAAUGGAAUUACCUCUUUCCAUUUUGGCCAAUGAUAUUGUCGACAUUUAAUAAUUGAACGUGGUUCCAAUCAACACAGCCCAUUGAUGAUUUGAGUAGCUACUCCAAAACCAAAAAUUGUCAUUCAUCAAUUCAUGAUUCCACCAUUCUCAUGUGCAUGCGCAUGCAUCAAUUAUAAGCAUUCCUUUGCUUUUGGGUACCCAAGCCACUUCAUGGGGCUUUUAUUAUGUGAGAAUGUGGAUUAUAACCUCCAUUGGAGCGUUAUUUAGUAGUAGGGCGUGGAUAAUCUCCAUUUAGGGAGUUGGAACAUUUAGAACCCAUAUAUCUGUCAUGCUGCAGGCAUGCCACAGAUUAAUACAUACAUGUCAAUUAAUUUAUGGAGCUUUAACCCAUAUGAUGGGACUUUAACCCAUAUGAUGGGACUUUAACCCAUAUAAUUUGCUACGCAUUCGGCGUGCAUAAUAUCAAUAUUGACAUGUCAAAGGAUUGUCCUUUCGGGACUUCAAUCCACAUCAUUUGCUACGCAACAGGCGUGCAUCAUAUUGAUCACUGCUAUACCCAUAUUCUGUUCUUAUGGGACUUUAAUCUGUGCAGUGUAUUAUCAAUGUAUCCAAUUUACAAUCUGUAAAAUUUUCAUUAAUAAUGCAUGGAUACAUACAAGCCAUUCUUUUGGAACGGACUUAUCUCCCCAUUUGGUUACCUUUCAAGAUAAAAUAUCAAAUAGGUAUAUAAGCAUAAAAUAACAUAAGUAUUGCUUACAUCCUUAGGUGGGAGAAACUUUUCUCAAGCAUCAUUCAAGCUCGUAUUGGCCCAGUAAAUAUAAAGUAUCGCUUGAUGAUCUUGUUAUAUCCUGCAAGAGCAAAAUCACAACUCUUUUCUCUGUCAAAAACAAAUAAUCCUCAGAGAGUUACAGAAAGAGAAAAAAUGCAAAAAUAAUGUGAUAUUGAUUGCAAGAGAAGGUAAGCAAUCAGGGAAGGAAGCUGGUGGGAGCAAAAAAACAAGCUCUCAAUUCUCCUAGUCUAGAAGGACCUCAGGAGAUUAGAGCAUAAGGCCGCAUUCACAAUUCCCUGAUCUUGCAGAAACAUGAUCAGGGAUAGUCUUGCUUCCUGAAUGGAUGAUCAGAGAUAGUCUUGCUUCUCGGGCACAUUAAGUGCUCACUGAUAAGAAAAACAAGUAGAUAUCGCAUUUACUAGAUAUGGAGAUAACUGGAUGUCUUCUGCAAAGAAAAUUUCGUUAGUAAAACAUUUAUACACAAAUACAAUGAAUAGGUAGAACCGGUGAAUUUCAAAUUAACCAUAGUAAAAUUGCGAGAUUCUCGGGAUGCUGUUGAAAAAGUGCGAGAUUCUCGGGAUGCUAUUGAAAAAAUAGCUUCGUGAAAUCCGUAAAGCAAGAUCGGCUUUGAAAAUAAUGCUUGAAAACGCCGAAAGUGCCGACAGGCAUUAUUAGAGGCCACGUGAAGUUUUGGACUCUAGGAAAGAAAAAGAUAAUAUGGGGAUUCGAGAAGAUAUUGGAGUCCUGAAAAACAGUAGCCAUAUUUCCUCCUAUAGAUAUGGCCGUUGCAAAACUUGAUUGGAGCAACUGCGUUUCAACUCAAAUUUUUUUUUCAUUUUCUGAAACUUUAGUUUUCCUAGGACUUUCUCUCUCCCUCAAUUUUCUCUCCAGUUCCUAGGACUUUCUUCGAAACCUUCUCAAAAAUGGCUUCCUCUUCUUCCUGCCCAAAUUAUUUUAAUUUAAAUGAUGCCCCAACAGCAACCAGUGACGCCAAAGUUUGGCGUCCAUCCUUUGUAUCCCAAAAUCGUCAUCUCACAGUUAAUGAUUCUGUGAUGAUGAAUGAUGCUACUGCUGUCAUAGUAGCUAGGAAUUUCAUCACUCCAAUGGAUGAAAUGCUGUUAACAGGGAGGUCUGAGGAAGAGGCUAUUGAUGACUCAAUGGCUUUUAGCAUUCAGAGUGCUGCUUCUGUUUCUAACAUGGCUGAUCGUUUGCGUACUAGAGCAAACGAGGUUGAGAAGCUGACAACUGAAAAUUCGUCUCUUCAAAGAAUGCUUCAUGAGUCUCAACAGGAGGUUGAGAAACUGAAAGGAGAGAAUAAUGCCUUGUUGAAACUGGUGAGUUCGUACUCAGUUGAUACACUGAGAAGGCUAGACAUGCUGCAGGUCUCCAAUGAAAGAAUUUUGGGAGACCACGAGAAGCUCAUGGCUAAGCUUAAGAGGCGCCGUCAUCUUCCUUCAGAGGCUUCCAGAACAUAGUGUAAUUUUAUAGAUUUUACAGGGCCUGCACCUUCAUUGCAGGAAAAAAUCUAUCUGUUGUAUGCCCCUUUUCAGUUAUAAUAAUUGCGCACAUUCUUAAACUUGCACAUGUGGUUUUUACGUCUUUUCAAAAUGACGGUUUGGAACCUUGUGCCUUAUAGGUUCAAAUAACCACAUUGUCUCUCCCAAAUUGCAUAGUAGCCAGGAACUUUUGGCCUGGGCACAAACUCAGAAUUUAUUUGCCCUUUUCAAAUGGACAUGAAAUGUGAAUUAAGUAAAAGCCAUGAUAAUAUCGCAAUAUAGUAGUGAAGAGCAUUAACUACUAUAUACCUACAACUUCAAGUUUAGGAUCUCUCGUAUAUUUGGAUCCAUGGGCUUCCGGCCCAGAUAUAACUAAAUAUGUGGGGAGCCUCAAUUUAUUAUUUGAGGUUAAUAUUAUCCAUUUCGCGGUGUAUUCUUAACAACCGGAAUUCACAAAAUAUAUUUCUUCCUUGAGGUGUCGAUUAUAACAAAAUCGAACUUUAAAUUCAUCAUCUUCUUAUACCAAAUAAAUAUGUGGCGUACCACAAUUUGCAAUAAUACCUCAAGGGUUGUCCAUUUAAUUGUUGGAACUUCAGGUUCUCAACACUGUUAAAUUUUUGAACUUCAGGCCAAAGCCACAUAUUCUCAUGGUAUGGACAUUUUUACAAUAUUCUGUACAUAUUUCGGGACUUCAAGCCCUUACAUAAUUGUCCAUAUUUUGAGGAACUUCUGGCAUCUCAUUUAAUUGCUCAUCCAUGAGUUUAAGGAACUGCAGGUUCCCUUUUGUAUAUAGUGACGGUUUAACCAAAAUGGUUCAUAUUUAUGCAUACGUCACUAUUCAUGUAUACGGCACUAUUCAUGUGUACAGUACAUUUGCCAGUACAGUUAUCAUCCAUGUGUACGGCAUUAUGAACCAAUACGGUACUGUUACAUCAUCAAGGAACCCCAGGUCCUUAUUUACAUGUCAAGGAUCAAGGACCCUCAAGUCCAAUCCGAUCAGGGCUAACAGACCCCACCAUAGAUUAUUCCCUAUAGGAUUAGAAAUAAAUGAACCAGAAAGUGCAAUCCAAUCAAAAUAUCAUAUCAAUACCAAAAGAGAAAUUUCAGGCAUAUGCCUAUAUAUUAUGAUGAAAACAAAAGCCCAAAAGCAAAAAGAAAUAAUAAGUAUUCUUGCUAUAUCAUAUUGCAUCUAACAAAAACAAGCGGGCAAAUUCAUCAUGAAUAUUAUGGUUUGUGUUUUUUUUUUUUUUUUUUUUUUUUUUUUUAUACAUAACAACAUCCUAGCAUUAUUGAUCAUGCGGUAAAUUAUAACUGUAUCUUUCAAACCACAGUUCCACUAGGAAGUGUCAAUCAAUAUUUUAAAAACAUUUAUUUCCUUUAUGAAAUCAGAUUAUUUAACUUGACAAAAUACUCCCGCAAUGCAUGGUUUACAAAUACUGGUGAUUUGAGCAAUCUAAACUGGUCAAGAGUAUUUUAAUAAUGUAAUUAAUUAAAGGAGAUAGGGUACUUAUCCCUUUAUUUCGGUGGGUGUUCACAUGCUUUCCACUAGGCUGAUCAACUUGCUGUAUCCUACAAGGCUCGAUCUCCAGUGCCUUGCAUCAAAUCAACACCGACCUGUUAACAACUUUUAGUGGCUUACCUCCAUUUUAGAAAAAUGUUUCUUCACUGCUUUUUGACUAUACUUCCUCCAUUGAUAUCCAUCAUCAAGGAUAUCAACUUGGCUCCUCGUUUGAAAAGCACCUUUUUUUUUUUUUUUUUUUUUUUUUUUUUUUUGAGAAAAACCGCAUCAGCGACCUCUUGAUGAUCAUGGGCAUCAUGAUCAUCAUGAUCUGCGGCGUCGUCAACCUCCACCCCAGCCAGCAGCGGCUCUGUAGACUCCAACGCAGCUCUCCAGCCGCUCUGAGUCGGAUGAUCUCCUCCUCCUCCAAGAGAAGAGCAACCAGGACCUCCAUUGAGCCAUCCGAAGGUAGAGUAGCCGGACCCCCACAUCUAUGCCCGAGACGACUGCCCGGUCUCCGUCUGCGGCUACCCGGGCUUCAACCUGACCAAACCAGAGCUCAGCCAUGAUCGAGGCGGCCUGGGGUUCGGAGAAGACUCCGAGAGUGACUCGGCGGUAGAGAUCAGGCGCAUCGCAGAGGUCGAGAACCAUGUGGAGGUUGAGAAACUUCGGCAUCGGCACAGACAGCUGCUGCUCCAGCAGUGGUAAGUCCAUCAGUGGCCAAUGGAGCCAUCAUCUGCUGUUGAAUUGUAGUUGCAGAUAAGUUCUUGGCUGGUGUUGCUUAAGAGUCCGCAAAUUCCACCUUGGAUCUCACAGGCACUGCAAGCAGGUUUUGAUACACAGCAGCAACAAAGGAGAGCCUGCAAGGCAGAGACUUAGAAGCUUUUGAGGGAGGCAAAGGUCUUCUGGAUCUGGCGGCCACAGGGGUUGGGAUGAUGAGGUGAGGCUGCUGUUGGCUUUCAAAGAAUCCUCUGUUCAAUCUGAUCCCCAUGGUUUCUUGUCUGAUUGGAAAGCUACCUGCAUAAACAGCUCCUCUUCCUGCGAAUGGGCGGUGGGAAGGGAGGAUGCUGCCCCUGGUGAUGAUAAUCAGCUGGAUCGCCUCUGUCCGUUUUUGAAACUCCAGUUGGUACCAAGGGUGCCUCAGCUGCUGCUGGCGGUGCCUCUACAUCUAUUGGGUUUUCUGGAAAUAGAAAUGAAAAUGAGAAUUUGGGCAUCAUUGAAUCUGUUGUUUGAGUCUCAAUCAAACCCAAGAAAGAAAAGCGAUGAAGCAGAGUGUUUUGAUCGAAUUUCCCAGCUGGUAUUUUAGAGAUAAUUCGUGCUGAUAACGUGUUAUAAAACAAGAGAGAAAAUGGAGAGAAUUGAGAUAGAGAGAAAACUGAUCUGGGAAAUUGGAGAGAGUCUUUUGCUCUCGCUUCUCUGUAUUAUUUCUCAUACGUUUCUGUCUUCAUAUAUUACAAUAAUUAGAAUGUGGGCUCCAC